UACCUUUCUCGGCCUUUUGGCUAAGAUCAAGUGUAGUAUCUGUUCUUAUCAGUUUAAUAUCUGAUAUGUGGACUAUUAGUUCACAUGAUAUUAAAUUAAUUUUUUGAGGGAGAGGGCCGUUAAAGUAGCUUGCUACUUGGUUCCUCAAGCAUCGCCUUUGUGUUGCACUAUUACAAAGGCCUGGUGUAUCCCACUCAUAACAGUUCAAGUUUCUGUCUUUCUAGAUUAUGAUUUCUUUAAAAUUUUUGGCCCAUUCUUUUUUCACAAAUUUAAAAUUUUUUGUCUGUUUACGAAACUAAUUAGUAUUAGUAACAAAAAAUUGUGUUAUUUUAUAACUAAGAAGGAACACUUGUUAUAACUAAGAUACUUAAAAUAAUCAUUGUUUAGUUAGAUUGGCAAUAAUAAUAAUUUAUAAGAAAAGAUUAAUUUUAUUGAAACAAUAAUUAUAUAAUAAUAGCAUUUCCCAAGUAUUCUCAAAGUAUUCCUCAAAUAGUAAAAAUAAAUCUAUCAUAAAAUGUUGCACCAUUCAUGUUUUCUUAAGUAAAAUAGUUGAACUAUGCACCAAAUCAAUAUAUCUUUCUUCUCUUCACAUAUUUGAUUUCAAAAGUAAUGUUAACCAUUUUUCUUUGGAUAUCAUUUACUUAUUGUAGUUUUCUUUUACUCAAACUAUAUAAUAAUCUUGCUUAUUACAUAAUUUUUAAAGUAAUAAAAUCAAAUGCUGUCACACUCAACCAAAUAGUAUAUAUUUAUAUAUUAUGUUACAAUCACAAUAUUACCGUUCUCCUCAAAAGCUUUCAAUAUCAUAUUUUUAAGAUUUUGCAAAGAUUAGAAAAGAAAUUAUAUUAUCAAAAGGCAAAGUAGCGAAAAAUUGUGAAGUUAUAAAUUUACUGCAAAAUUUAUUAUUACGUCAGUUUAUAGUAAAUUCAUGAUUUUGUGCCAGUGCCUAUUAUAUUAAAAAUAUUUAUUUUUAUUAAGGGGUACUAUAAUAAGUUUUAUGGAUUUAAAAUAAAGUUAAAAACAUUUCAUUAUAAUAACUGGUAUAUUAGAUAAUUAGUUAUAAUCAUUAAAAGAUUAAUAAUAGUUGAUUUAAAAAGAAUGUUAAAAUUUACAAUUUCAAUCUCUUGCACAUUAUGAUUUUUGUGUCAACGUGUAUCACUACCCAUUGUUUUCCUUAGAGCUGAUGUUUGCAAGAAAACAAUAUAUUGACUAUAAUACUUAUUUAGGCGAAUGAGAAUAAAAAAACAAAGAUUUAGAAAAGCUGAAGCGUAACAACGCAUCAAAUAUUAAUAUAGAUGCAUUGAGUUUGAGAAACUUAGAACUAGGGAAGUAGUAAAUUAUUCUGUGAAAGAAAGUGCGAGAAUCUUUGAAGGUUUCAGGUUGUUCAGCUGAGAAUAUAAUUAUUAUCCAUGAAACAAUUGGCUUACAGGAUCAGCAGUCUGUGCAUUCUCCAAUUGCUCCCUUCUGAAAAAGUUCUAAAACUAUUUGAGCUGCAAGUAAACAAAAACAAUAGUGUUGGAAACGGACCAAAGUGACUCACGAGUAAAUAUGUUAUCAGUGGUAUGUUCGAUUAAGGUGUUCUGAGCCCAACCCCAUGCUCCUUUUAUUGAAUCAUAACAGGGCUCGUAGAAGCAAUAGUUAUCAGCAAGCUCUCUCCGCACAAUCAACUCCUCCAAGAAGGCAUCAAGUUCCUUUAGAUCACAAGUUAAGAACAGGAAGUUAUACUAAACAUAGGUAUAAGAUGUUUGUCUAUUAAAACCAUUUUGGGGAAGAAAAAACCAUCGAUAAACAGAAACAGAAAGAAUUCAGUGCAGGGCAAGUAGACAAACUUGAGGAUGUGAAUUUCGCCGCUUACGUGCUUCAAAAGCACAUCGCUGAGAAGAUAUCUGUCCAAAAUGCAAAUAGGGAGAUAAACCAGAGAGUGCAUUGGGGUUGCACAGGUUGUUGCGAUCUAGGGAGUAACCUUUUAAUCCAGAAUCCAUUUUCACUUCCCAAUUGAAUCUAAGGUGUAACACUUCCCUUGCCGCAAUUCCCCCCUGCUCACAUCAAUCAACUUCAGGAACCUCAGCUCCUCUGCUAGUAAUUUGACAGAAACAAUCAUCAAACCAGGGUCAUUAUAUCCCCAUGAUUUGCUUAACAACACACAACACUAACCGUAACACAUCAGCAAUGAGACCAUCCCAGUCAAUGGAAUGGUUCUCGGAAAGUACCCACUUCCUAGUUGGCAGAUCAACUUCGAAGUCAGGGAAAUCUACGAGAUACUCAGAAAUCCUUGUUUAUCUUUGUCCUGAUUGUCUUAGCACUGUACUCCAAUUUAUCAGAGGCAACCCAAAGUGGCACAACGUUGUGAGCGUCCACUUCAUGCACCGUAACCGAAUCACUUACCCUCUUGCAAGUCUCUUCUUUACACCUUCGUACAUCCCGCAAUGGUGAGAAAUCCGUUACCAAAAGUGAAGCUCCCCAUUCUCUUUGGCACGGUCUCCUCCGCCUCUCCCUACAAUAGAGUUUGAAAGUAGAAACAACAUCUUGGAAGAGUUAAGAAGACCUUGUUUAGUUAAAGCUCUCUUACAAGGGGUAAAAUUAAUUACUUCGUGUACAAAUUAAUAUUAGCUUUUGAAGAAAUUAAUCAAAAAUGUUUCCAUAAAUUAGCUUCAACAGAGGAGACCUCCACUGAUUGUGUUGAUAAAUGUGAAAUUAUUUUAGUAUAAACAGUGAUCUUGAGUUCGAGUCUUCAUAUGCAAUAACUCGGAGGAAAUGUUUUGUCCUCUACCAAACUCGUGCAUGAUUCUUUCGAAUGGAAUGUACCUAAACAACUUCUGCAAACGGAAAAGUGAUACAUAAACUAAUUCUAACUUAAGUUUCAUUUGAGAGUUAAAGAGUUGAUGGAGACCUAAAUAUUCUUUAAAAAAACUAUCCAAACAAAAGCGAAACUCGAAUAACUGUGCAAGUUACCUGGAACAAGAAAAAUGGAAUUUGAAGAGUAUGUUGCAUACGGUGGCACAACUGACGCAAGUUCCUGAGCAUGAACCCUAGAUGACGGGAUUUGGCGCCGAGAAAUCUGUGGAAGAGAUUGAAAACAACGGCAACGGGAACGUUGACUUUGUUGGUCUCUUCAACGGCGUGGAUCAGAGCCCAGUUGUCUCUCACCCGUUGAUCUCUGAACAUUCAGUACACAACUGGACCCGAACCCGCUUCUCCGCAUGAACCGUCUUUCAGGGUCCGAAUCCGACCUGCCUGAACCGUCAUCGGCGACGCUAAUUUAGAAGGCCUCGUGUUCUUCCCUGCGCCUCACUCCACCAGUCUUGGAGGGAAAUUCAACAGGUCACUCCACCUCGAACCUUCUUUUCUCACCUCUAUAAAUUUUUGAAUUUCCAAAAAUGUCCCUUUAUAAUAUUUUGGAUUUCGUAAUAAAAAAUUAAUUUUUAAAUUGUUAAUUAGUUUUUGGAUUACAUAAUUCGAAAGUAUUUUUUCGAGUCUUAUUUUGCUUUCAAAUUAUGUAAUCCAAAAAAUGAAUUUUUGGAUUAAAAUGAAUUUCCGGAUUACAUAAUCCAGAAACUACUCUAUGGGGUGACACAAUAAGAAUAAAAAUGUAUUUUCAUGUUGGGUAUAAAGGUGACAAAAGAAGAUAUGGAGGUCCAGGAAGAAACACUCAUUCAACAAUUCUAUGUGUGGUUUCAAACCCACCUACGUGGUUCCACUCUCUUUGGCACGUGUUCAAUGCUAUUCACUAUUAGACAACUUCUUCCUGCACCUCUACAAAUUUCUCCCUGCACCUCCACACUUGUGGAAAAGACUAUAUUGUACCCCUUUAAAAAAUGAUUUUCAGAUUGUUCUUUCUAAAAUAUUUCUAGAACGUCUUUUCCAGAAUAUGUUUUAUGAAUUUCGGAUUUAUAAAUCUGGAAAUUAAAAAAAAUGUGUUAAAAAAAUAAUUAUUUGUCUUCCAGAUUUUUUAUUCCGAAAAUAUCUUUUGCUAACGGAACUAUUAUUUUGAAAACAUCUAAAACUGUAAAGAGUAAUUUCGGUCUUUUCGAAAAAUGUAGGGGUGCAGGAAGAAAAGUGUAGAGGUACAGGAAGAAACACUUACUAUUAUUCUAUUUGUGAUUGCACUUAGGCCCAAAUCAAAGAUGGAUCUUACCAACCUAUUCGAAAAUGGGAGUUUCUUCCUGCACUCUUACGUUUUUCUUUCUGCACCCACACUUUUUAAAAUUCUAAAACUAGUCUUGAUCUUUUAUUUAAAAAAGGGCACUUGCAUUUUUUAAAUUACGGAUUUGUGAAUCUAGAAUGUAUUUUUUACAUUAUGAAUUCUGAAAUAUGGAAAUAUACUAUGGAUCUGCAAAUCUGAAAGAUUACUAGACUUAUCAAUUUGGAAGAUUUACGAUGCACCAACUUGAGAGUUUUGCGGAUUUAAUAUUUUGGAAGACAAAAAACAAAGUGUGGAUUCUCUAUUCCGUAAACCUAGCGAACUACACUGUCUCAAAACAUAUAUAUUGUGUAAACAAAAAUCCAUAAUAAAAUGGAACUAAAGAUCCAUAAACCAAAAUGUUUUUACUUACCUUCUUCUCUGAACAGAGAACCACCAAGAGAAACGUAUGCCAAGAUAUGGAGUAGCACGCUGUUGAGAGAGCAAUACAGUAUGUCUGUGUGCAAAGGAAGAAAAAAGAGUAGAGUGUGGGUGUUAGGUGCAUUUUAAGAUUUUUAAAAAAUAUUAGGGAUAAGUUUAUCUUUGCAAAACAUUAUGGGAGUGCAGGAAGAAAAAAAUAGGGGUGCAGGAGGAAACUGCCUACAAAAUUAGGCCAGGUCAAUCUUCAAGGCCAAGCCCAAAAAAUUGAUUGCAUUGUUCUGACCGAGAAAAAAAACUUCUAUUCAAUUAAGCUAGAUAUGUAUAUAUAUAUUUUUAAUUUAAGUAAUUUUUUUAGUUUAAAACCAAAAUCAACUCUAGUGCAAAUAUCCCUCAUUCCAGCAUAAAAAAAAGUAGUAAUAAAUAUGUCAUGUUAGCCAUAUAAAAAGUUGUCAUACGCAAAUAAUACUUUAAAAUGAAAAAUUAAAUGUCAAAAAAUAUAAUGGGUUAUUUUUUUUUUCAUUUGAAAACAGACUAAUAAGAGAUAAACACUUAAACAUUUGUUUAUGAAAUAAUCCCUUUAAAUGUUAUUAAAUUUGGUGAAAAUAAGAAAGAAUGUAGGUGAAUGAAUGAUGAGUAAUUGAGAUAUGUGAGUGGGUUCCCAUCCUGAAGCAGAGGUCAGAAGUGUGUUCUUGUUUUUGAGGUGAAGAAUUAAUGUCUGAUGUGGUAUUGGUAUUAGAAGUGGAGAACAUUGAAAUAAAAUGAUUGGUUAAGUAAAUCCCACAAGAAUUAACAGUGGACAAGAGAUGAAAAAAAUGGGUGACAUGAUUAGGCCUUGGAACAGAAGAAGAUUCUUGUAUAAAGAGAGUUUGUCUUCCUACAUUAAUCAUUCUAUUUCUAUUUCUAUUUCUUUUUCUUUUUCUUUUUCUUUUGCAUAAGCAUAUAGAUAGAGACAGAUAUGAGCUUUUGGUUGGUGAGUGAGCAAUUAGCAAUCAUCUCUGUCUCUCACUUAUAUCUCUAAUUACAACACCCACCAACUCUCAUCAUUCUUCCCUCUCUUUUCAAUAAUUUUUAUCAUCUCUCUCCCUAAUCACAUCAAUAAAUAAUUACAUAUAUAUAUAUAUAUUUUUUUUUAUUAAGCCAUUUAAAAUACUUUUUUAUAAACGGUUAAGAGAGAUGUUUUUAUCGGUUCGAGGUUGAUCUUUUAAGUUUUAGUGAUUCUAAAGAUGAGAGACUUCUCCUACCAUAACACUUUGACACUCAAGUCAGCAAGAAUAUAAAAUAUAAUAAGUAUAAAAUAAAAUAUAAGUAGAGUUGAUAUAUAUAGACUGAAUUAUAACCUCUCUACCUUUAAUCAUAAUUCUAUUUUAAUUUAAUAUUUAAGAUUAAUUAAUUAAGAUCUUUCAUUAGAUACAUAAAUUGAAAAAUGACAUAAACCGGAAGAAAAUACAUAGACAUAAAAGCAAAAACAGGAUUUCUAAAACUUUACUAUCAAUAUACCAUGGCUCUACUUUAUACUGUUCCAUAAACAGUAAAAACUGUCGGAUAUAAACUGAUUACUGAAGAUGGCUCAUAUGAAAAAAAAGAGUUAAAACAUGUUUAUUACAAUAUCAUUGACUGAUAUUCUAAAUAUAAGAUGGGAUUUUAAAUCAUCUUACAAAAUAAAUAUGUAUAACAUAAGAAUAGAUUAUUGUAAAAGAACUCUAAAUGUUCAAAAAUAAUAUUUGUUUAUACUAACACAACGGGAUCCUUAAAAAAUAGUGUAAAAAUUCGUUUUGAAAUCUACAAUAAAAAUGCUCUUCUAUUUUAAAAGGAAAUUAGAAAAAAUAGAUAUAUAGAAUGAGAUAAUUAUCUUUAUUAAUUACUGUGCAUCUACUUUUUUUAGGAUAAUAGUUAAUAAUAUAUAUAUAUAUAUAUAUAAUUAUUUAAAAUUAAAUAUUAUAAUAACUAUUAAAAUAAAAAGUAUUAUGAAAAAAAUUCUAAAGUACAUAUUUUUUAUAAUUCUAAAGUAUUAUAUUUUUCCAUUUCUUUCUUUCAAUACUUGAAAAAGUUGUUACUUAUUUAAUUUCAAUAUAAUUGAUUUUUUUUACCUUUCUAAUUAAUUGAAAUGUGUUUUAUAGAUAAUUUUAAAACCAAAUUCUUACUAUAUUCAAUUAUGUUACCAUACAUAUAUAAUCAUUAUACAAGUAUAUAAACAAUCAGUAUAUUCUAAUAAAACAUUUAUUUAAUUAUAAAAGAGAAUUAGAAAGUUUCCAUAUCUUGUUUGAGUGGAAAGGGUUUGAGGACUAAAGUACACACAAAAAAAGAGAGGUGCAGGGUUCCCAUAACCAUCAUCAAUGGCAGCAUAAUUGCCACAUGUGAGCUAAUAAGCACACUAUCAAUUGGGCAUUUUUUAAACUGAAAAGAUAAAAAAAAAAUAAUUGUAAAUGGUUAGUUGGUUGAAUCUCUUGACAUUCAAUUCUCAUAAACAAAGUAAGGUAUCCAAAAGGUAAAUAACUCAUUACCAAAAUUAAAUUAUUUAAAUCCACAGCAGAAUUUAAAAGAAGAUGAUACAUUAUGGUGAAAAUAAAUGGUACUUUCUUGCUUAGGUAGUUACUAUUGUGCAAAAAAGCAAAUGCAUUUGUUUGGAUUUUAAUAUCUAAUUGCAUAAACUACAUAUACUGGAGAAUAAAAUAUGUUUUUUAAAUAAAAAAUAAUUUUAAGUAAGAAAUAAAAUUAGAUAUUUAAUUAUUUAGGAGAGUAUUGUUAAAAGAAAUAUGAUUAAAUGUAUCUUAAUUAGAUAACUUAGAUUGAAUGUUCAAUUUCGUAUAAUUCUUUGUAAGUUAGUUUAAAGUCAAAACCUUCAUAUCCUAUUGUAAGACUACAAAGUCUCAAGAGACUAUAAUCUAAAUUAUACUUGUGGACUAUAAAACUUGAAAAAAUUAUUGUACAAAGAAUAUUUAUAAGUUUGAACUUUCCGGUGCUUAACGAAUCAAGUUUACUCGUUUUGAAGAAUUUUGAAUUAUAGCUAAAAAAAAAAACACACCAAGCGAAUCCCUCAUUUACAAUAGUUGGUUUUAAAUUUUGAAAAUAAGAAAGAAAUAGAGGAGUUUUGUGGAAGGUUGAGAAGCUCUCGAGAUCUUUGGGAAUAUCUUCAUAAUGUUUGCUGAUAGCUCUAAUGCUUGCUGACCAUUCUAUAGUUGUUGAUUGUAAAAAUUCUUAAUCUUAAUGUAGUAGUGUUAAUUUGGUCAUCAAGAAAUUGGUUAAGGAUAUUACCAAUUUAAUCUUAAAAUUUUCAUAAUUAAGGAAAUAACUUGAAAUGAAAAUUCAAUAGUAAUAAUGAUGAAAUAAUAAUUGUAGUUGUUAUUUAAUAUUAUAUUAGUUUGAUUUUUUUAUUUUCUUGAAAAUAAUAAUUUUUUUAAUAAAUAUAUAAUUUAUUUUGAAGUUUCAAUUACAUAUUUAUCAAAUUCAAUAUUUAUCAAAUUCAUAUAAGAGAAUAUUAGGAGGUGGACUUUGAGAAUAACAAACUUUCCAUAGAUUCUUCUAUUACUAUAUUAAGAUUAAAUUUGAUUCAAACUUAUAAGAUCCACUCCCACUCAUUUGUAUUAUCUAUAUAUUAUAAAAUGUUUUUAUCUUAGUCAAAAAUAGUUCUCAACAAAUAACCUUAUCUAUUUUUGUUAUAUACUAGAAUGAGUAUAAAAAUAAUUGUAUAAUAUUUUUUCUUUCAUUUAUCGAAAAUUAUUAUUUUUUUGAAGAAAAGAAAAAUAAUUCAAGGGACAUUUUUUAAUAAAAAUAAUUUAACUUAUUUUUCUUAUCCUACUUUCACUAUCAAGUACAAAAAAGAAACAAAUAAAAUGAAAUCAACUCAACUCCAAUUAAGAAACCGAAUAAGAUAGUGACAUGCACAAGUUAUAUUACUUAUUUCACUGAAAUUUCAAAAUGUAGGUUAAUAAUUGAUCUAUUUUUAACAUGAGAAUGACAAAAGUAUGAGCAAAGAGUAACUCUUUUAAUCUUACUGGAUACUUGAUCGAACAAGAAAACAAAUAUAUGAAUAGGGUACGAGAAAAUAAGAGAAAUAAUUUUCUUUUGAGGAAUAUUAGUAUAUUGGAAAUGGUAAUUUAAAAGUAUAUAAUGUGUGGGUGAAGUUAAGUGACAGAGGUAUUUAUCCUAACUUUUAGUUUAUAAAGAAAGAUUGGACAAUUUAUUUCAUUUGAAAAUCAAUCAUAUAAUUUAUCACCAAUUGAUCCACUUGUUACGAAACUUCUUCUAACCUAUACAUUUAUUGGAAAUAAAAGUUAAAGGUGGUAAAGUAUGUGAUGUUUAUUUCCUAUCCUUUUAAAAAAAUAUCAAAAGUAGUUGUAUGGAAUACUAUGUUAAACUGUUUGGAGUCGACCCAGACUCUUCGAAGUACCUUCUUCCAUUUAGAACCAAGUAUUUGUCCUAAUUGGACACUUCUUAAGAUUUAGCAAGUGUAUUUAAGAAAGAGUUCAAGUUCAUAUAAAAUUUAUCAUAAUUAAGUUAAGCAUGAUAGAAAAUAUGGAAUCAACGUCCAUGAGAAAUAGUAGUAAUAAAAAAGGCAGUUGUAUUUAUGUAAGUUUUUUGUCAUUUUUAACGACGGUUUUCGCCUGAAUUAUCGUUAUAUAUCUAUAUGUAUGAGAACUGCGACAACUCACUUCAUUAGCGCGCUCUCCCUUGACAUUCUCACUCUCAACUCACUUCAUCUUCUUUCCACUCUCAAAUAAGCGUCUCCCAUCAUCUUCUUCCACUUUCAACUCUCCCAAGCGCCACCCCUUUGCCUUGCCUCCGCCACCAUUGCGAAGUUGAUCGACGCUCUUUCGCAGUCAGUCCCACCACUCUCUUUCCACCGUGAGCACCACACCUCCAUCAAGGCGUUCUCCAUCAAAGUAGCGAGCAUUGUCGCCUCCCACCGUCCCUCCCUCCCUUUGUCGUUUCUUCCAUUGCAACCACCGAAGGUUGCCGCAUCGCCACACGCUGCUUUGUGUCGCACCUCUGAUUCGCUGCAGGCUGCUCCGCACCGCGUCACGCCUCUACUCUACCGGCUGGUGGUAAUCCACGGCAGUGGUCCUCCGUGCUUGGCCACCCUUGUCCCUUCGCUCACCCGCACCAUUUUUUCCCGCCAGGUUAGUGCUUUAAUACUCUUUAUUUAUUUUUAUUAUUGUUUCAAUAGUUUUUACUUUUUUAUUAGUAUUUUAAUAUUUUUUAAUUUUUUUAUUAGUGUUUUAAUAUUCUUUACUUUUUUAUUAGUGUUUUAAUACUUUUUACAUUUUCUAAUAACUUUGUGAAUGCAACUUGUUGAUUUUGAGUCUGAGGGUGUCUGACCCUCAGCAAUUUGGAUUUUUUUUUAUAAUGAAUUAGAUAAUAUUUGUAUACAUUGAACACGUUAAUCUUGAGUCAGAGGGUGUCCUACCUUCAGCAAUUUUUAUUUAGUUUUUAUAAUGAAUUAUAUAAUAUUUGUUAGUACUGAACGCGUUGAUGCUGAGUCCGGAGGUGUCCGACCCUCAACAAUUUCGAUUUAGGUUUAUAAUGAAUUAGAUAAUAUUUGGUUGACGCUGAGUCCAAGGGUGUCCAACCUUUCGACAAUUUUGAUUUAGGUUUAUAAUAAAAAUAGUUUUCUUAAUUGAUCAGUUGUAUGGAUCGGAGUGUGAUUAAUACACCACAUAUAACUGAUGCAUACGAAAGAGGGAUGGAAGAAUUCAUACAGUUUUCACAACGCAAUGUCGUUAGUAAUCAUAACGAAGUAAGAACGACGUGUCCUUGUGUGAAUUGUUUGAAUGGAAGAAUAUUGAAUGUUUCCGAAAUUAGAGAACAUCUUUUGUGUGAUGAGUUUUUGAAAAAUUAUACAACAUGGACGUGGCAUGGUGAAUUGUUGCACUUACCAAGUGUUACCAAGUGUCCGCGAAGGUUCGAAGUUUUUUGAUUUUCCAAUGGACGAUAGAUUAGAGGAUAUGAUUUGUGAUGUGGGAGCAUAAUCUUUUGUUCAAUCGAUUUUAAAAAAUAUGUCUAAUGAUGUAGAGACUCCUUUGUAUCCUGGUUCAACUAACUUCACACAAUUAUCAACAGUGUUAAGGUUGAUGAAUUUGAAAACAAUAAAUGGAUGGACUGACAAAAGCUUUACAUAAUUACUUCAAUUGUUGGUGGACAUGCUUCUAGAAGGAAAUACAUCACCCAAUUGAAAUUAUGAGACAAAAAAGAUUCUUUGUCUGAUGUGAAUGGAAUAUAAAAAAAAUACAUUCAUGUCCUAAUGAUUGUAUUAUAUACAAAAAUGAAUAUGGUAAUUUAAGAAGAUGUCCCAAGUGUGGUUUGUCACGUUAUAAAGUUAAAGUUGGUGAAAAAGAAUAUAAUGAUGAAGUCACAAAGGAAGGUCCUCCUGCUAAGGUCGUUUGGUAUCUUUCAAUAAUUCCAAGGUUUAAGUGUUUGUUUGCAAAUGUAGAUGAUGCUAAAAAUAUCAGGUGACAUGCAGAUAAUAGGCAUUAUUGACAACUAUUGAUCAUAUUUGUUCAAGGUCAUACCGCUGCAUGGUUUCGCUCCUUGCAUAAGAAACCCUCUAACUAUUUUAAACACAUUAUAGAUAGGUACGACAAUUUCAUUUAACAUUUAUUAUUACUUAUACAUUACAUAAUGUUAUGUGUUCUAACAUGAAAUCUUAUUAUUCCAAUGCUUAUUCUGGAUAUAACAUGUUAAGUGGGAGGGGAAAUGCAAACGCAAAAAAACUAACUUGGAUGCACCUUAAGGUAUUUAAAGUAUAUUUGUUCACUCACUUUAAUGUGUCUCAUUCAUUCAUUUAAUAACAUUUAUUUUGACUUGUAGUGGAAUAGGCAAUUUGGAAGUUAUGAGUGCGAUUAUUAUGCUAUGCAGUGGAUGUCGAUUAUUGUGCGAGCUGAAAUUGAUAGAGGUUGGGAUCAGGUAUAUUAUUCAUGCACUAAUUCAAAAAAAUUUCAAAUGUCACAGUUUUUCAAUGACCCACAACCACUAGAUUUGGAAGCAUUACAGUAUGUAACGAUAACAUGAUCAAAAUAUUUUGUAACUAUGUAUAUCACCUUAAGAUAGAUAAAUUAUUAGAAUGACAUAAAAACUUUUCAUAUAUUUACAGAACUUUUUGUAAAAUAAUAUAUGUACUUAAUUUGUUGUAUGUAUUUUUCAUAUUUAAAUUAUGAUAUUAAAUACUUUUAUUUUCUGAAAAUUUGAUAUUUUAUGUGGGAUUAAGGUGUAUAUAGAUAAAAUGAAACAUUUUUAAAAAAAAAAAAGACAUAUAACGAUGUUCCAAGAUCAUCUUUACAAAUAUUAUUUUAAAAAAAAAUACUCACUUAUAACAAAGUUUUCAAGGAAAAUCGUCUUUAAAAUUAUUAUCUUUUUUUAUUUUUUUGUUAUUUACUUGCCAAAAUAACAACAAUUGGUCACAAAUGUCGUUAAUAUUUUUUAUAAUAACGGUUUAGGAAUCAUUGUUAUAAAUUGUUUAUUUAUAACAAUACUUGUAAUAACGACAAUUUGGUAACCGUCUUUAUAUAUCCUUUUUAACUGUUGUUAAUGAGUGUUUUUAAUAGUGAAUGCAAUACAAUUCUUAAUUGUAACAUGAACUCGUUAAAAAAAAUACUAAAUGAUUAAAUGCUCAAGAUAUUCAAUUAUUCAUUAUGCUCUCAUUUCUUCUCUAAAAAGUCCCAGAUAUUCACAUGUUUAACUUAAUGUGAAAACAAAAUACAUUUUAUAGUACUUUUCUUGAUUUUGUUCAUGUUUGUUCUCUAUCACGUUUGAUAUUAUUUUAAGUAUUUGAUUCAUAUGUUUAACUUAAUGAUCUAAAAACAAAAAGCAUUUUCUAGUAUUUUUUUUUACUUUAUUCAUGUUUAUUUUUUUAUCACGUUUCAUAUUAUCUUAAGAAUUAAAUGUAUUUUUUUUUAUGUAUUAUAACGUAAAAUUGAUUUGUGUCUUUAGUCCAAACUUUAGAUUUAUGGAAUGCUUAUAAUAAAAAAAUUGGCAUUGGUUCAUUUCAAUAGUUCAUUUACUAUAAAAAUCUAUAAGGUCUAAAGUUUGAACUAGAAACACUACAAGAAAAUCAUUAAAUAACAACCAAAUUUAGAAUAAAAAAAAUAAUUAGUCACUAUAUUAACUAAAUUAAAUACUAUUUUAGAGACUAAAAAAUUACUGGUAUCUAAUGUGAUUUCUAUUAUUAAUAACAAUUUAUAAAAUAAUUUCUAAAUUAGUAUCUAAACUAGCUAUUAGGUUUUAGCUACUAAUAUUUUAGAUUCUAAAUUAGUCUCUAAAAGACUAAUAGAGACUAAUUUAGAAUAUAAAUAAUUAGUAGAUAAAAUCUUAGUAGCUAAUGGUUAAAUACCAAUUUAGAAACUAUUUUAUAAUUUUUUAUUAAUAAUUGAAACUACUUUAGAUACAAAUAAUUUUUUUUAGUUCAUAAAAUGGUAUCUAAUUUAGUCAAUAUAGUAACUAAUUAUUUUGGUCUCUAAAAUUAGUUUCUAUUUCACAAUUUUCUUGUAGUGAAAUGAAAACUAAUUUCACAUGAAAGUAUAAUAACAAUAUAUAUAUAUAUAUAUAACCUUUAUUUUAAAUAUUUGUUUCAUAUGUUUAACUUAAUAAUGUAAAAAAAUGCAUUUUCUGUUUUUUGUUUACUUUAUUCAUGUUUGUUUUCUAUCACGUUUGAUAUUAUUUUAAAUAAUUGUUUGUUUUUAAAUUUUCCUUAAAAAAAUACUUUGUAAUCAUAAUCAAAAUAAAAUAAUUCAAAUACAAGCUAUAUAAAAAUAAACAUACUUAAUGAUUUUGAUAAUUUAUGAAAAAAUAUGAUGGUAUAAUUACCUUUUUUAUCUAUACAUUUAGGGUUAAUAUUCAAUUUAUUACAGUGUUUUAAAAAAAAUCAAUUUGUUCAUAAGUUUUUUUUUAAAUGUAUGUAAGUUGGUCUCUCCUAUUAAAUUUCCACCAACAACCUUAAGUGUUGAUGAUGUGGCAUAAAGAAGGGCACACAUGGACUAAGAAAUGGGACACACUUAUAAUGAAGUUUUGUGACUUGACAAUUGGAGGGUUUGAAAGAUUAAACACAACGAAAUUGGGAAAAAGAGAUUAGGGUUUGUUUAAUAGCAUUCAAUGAUUUAGGAUUUGGGCGAUUUGAAUUCUUGAUUGUGGUGUAGUGUUGACGAUUUGGAUUCUUGAUUUCUAAGCUUAGAUAUUCCUCAUUUUCGUGAUUGUGGUACGCGAUUUGGAUUCUUGAAUUCAAAAGGCAACUUGAAUAUCAUCUUAGGAUUCAUCUUAAAUUCAAAAAUCUACUUGAAGGUCCAAAAGACAAAGAUCAUUAUGCAGCAAAAUCAAAGACAAAGAUUGCAGCAAAAUCAAAGGCAAAGAUUGCAAGCUCUCACAUGGGUCUGUGUUGUUGAUCUUACAAUCACCGUAGUUUGCAUCCAAAUUUUCCUCGAAGGUGUCACACUGCACGUCAAACCACCAAACACCAACAUUGUACCAAAUCGCACUUCACAAAAUCGCACUUCACCAAUAUUCAACUUUAACCCCAAACUCACUGAUUGCAAUUUAAAAACCCUAACCCUAAUGUUCAACUUUAACCCUAGUCACCAAAACUCAUUAAUUGCAAUUAAAAAACAUUAACCCCAAUAUUCCACUUUACUAAUUAUCAACUUUACUGUAUCAAAUUAAAUCUUACUCUAAAUAGAAGAACCAGUAAAGUAAUUAUAUCAAUAUGAUUUUUCACGUGUUGUUCUAAAAAGCAUAUGAUAACAUUAUUAAGUAUUAUGUUAUUGAUUGUAUGUUUAUUACCAUUUACUUUAGUUAUUUUAUACAUUUACCAUAAACCUAAAGAGAGGCAGAAAUGAAUAAUAAUAAUAUAAGAAAAUUAGUUAAUAAAAUAAGAAGGCUUUUGUAAUGUUGACGUAUUUUGAUAAUAUGAGUACGACCAUCCCUUUUUAUCUGCAAUAUAUAAUCACAAACUUACAAACAACUUUGCUCUGCUACUUCAACAAAGUAUUCACUGCAGGAAAUUAAGACAUUGAACUUUUUGCGAAUAAAAUCAAUGUUAAUAAUUUUGUUUCAACAACCCCUACUGAAAUGGGGUAAAAGCUUUGAAAAAAAGAAAGAAGUCGGUUGAGAUUCGUUGUUGAAGAAUCGCUCUCUCUACCAUUUUCUGUGCCUUCAUGCCGACACCCUUCCUUUGCUUUGCCUCCUCUCACACUCAUCCAAUCACUCUACUGUGUGAGACUAUUUUAAUAAAUAAUAAACUUUCUUAAAAUAAAACUGUUAAAAAAUUAAUUUAAAUUUACUUCUAAUUUAUACAGCAAGAUAUAUGUUAUAUUAGCUUUGUAUAUAGUUGAUGUGCAUGUCUAACCAUAACGUUAUUAUAGGAUGUUUAAAAGUGAAGUUAACUAAAGCUUUUUUUUUUCAUUGAAUAAAACUUUAUUAUAUAUUUGUAUUCUUUCAUGAUCCAGCAUCUACUCACCAGUUUUGGAAUAUAUUAUUAAUUCCAGACUUGGGGUUGCUAUUUCCAAUCUCCACCCAUUCCAACUGUCUCUGGCCCUCACACAUAAAGACAUCUAAAAAUUCAACUAAUGCUUUUUCAGAAGGUGAGAGUGAAAGUGAGAGAGCUCCUAGGCUUAUAGGUUAUCUAUGGUCCACCAAGUUUGACAAACAACCAUCAAUUUCAUGCCUUCAUUACCACUCCAAUCAUAUCAUUCGCCACUGCAUCACCAAAAACAUGAAUUUAACGUAAUAGUAAUUGCAGUUAUUGAAUGUCUUGUCUUCAACUCCUAUACAUACACUCUAAAUGGAAUUGUUUUUUUUUUAUAUAAUCUUUUGUAUCUCUACUACUGACGUUGAAGAACAAAGUUUAGUUAUAGAAUUAAAAAAAUGUGGUUUUUUUUAUUAUAAACACGGAAUAAAAUGUUUUACUCUUUUUAUAUUAAUAUGAAGAAUAUUAUUGUGAAACAAACCUAUUCUACACUCUAUAAAGAUAAAAUUGAUAUUAAUUUGAAUAAACUUUCUCCUUUAAGUUUUUUUUUCUUCUAUUUUUUAUAAUGAUAUUGUUGUGCUUACACAUGUUAGUUAUAUUGUUCCUUUAGUUUCUAAAAAUGUGUUGUCUUCAUGAAGUAUUAAGUAACACUGUUAAUGAUUCUUCUAAUACAUUACAUUUAACUCAUUUUGAUACCUUACAACAUCAACAUUAGGAUCUACAACCUUCACCUAUUCGAGUUUCUACUCGUCUCAUACAACAAUAUGGAUAUUUGAAGGAUUAUCAUACUACUUUUUUUUCUCUUCAAAGGAUGUUACCAAUCAUUCUUCAGGUACUAAAUAUUUUAUUCAAAUAUCCAUAAUUAUAACUCUACAUAUUCUUCUUUCUAUUAUAAUAUUUUUUUUUCUAUCUAAGAUCAUAGAUAAUUUAAAGAGAAGAUAAAAUAUGAUUGUUGGAAAGGAGUUAUGCAACGUGAACUUAAUGCUUGAGUCUAAUGAAACUUGGUUUUUGACGGAUUUGCUUCCUAUAAAACAUCUUAUUAUGUGUAAAUGAGUUUUUAAAACUGAGCAUAAACUAGAGGACACCAUUGAUCAGUACAAGGUUGACUAGGUUACCAAGGGAUAUACUCAAACUCAAGGUAUUGAGUAUUUUGAGACUUUCUUUUUGGUAGUUAAAAUUACUACCAUUCGAUUUAUAUCUUUCGCAAGUGUUAAGGAAAUAAUUAUUCGUCAAGAGUGAAUAAUGUCUUUCUUCAUAACGAUCUUGAUGAAGAAAUUUACUUGACUCCUCCCAGUGACCUUAAUUUUUUUUAUACAACAAAAAUUUAUAAACUUAAAAAAGAAAUAUGGACUAAAACAAGUGAGUAGACAAUAAAACUUAAAACUAACUCCAACAUUCUUUGUUUAUUUGUAGUGGAACAAAUCUUUCUUUCACAACUCUAAUACUAUAUUAGUUUUAUAUACUUUAUUUAUAGAGAAAGGAAAAAUAAAUACAAGAAAAUAAAUAAUUCAAGAAAGUAUUCAUUAAUUUACAGAUCUGAAUAAUCUUCUAUUUAUACAACAAAUAAAAAAUAAAAUAAUAAGAUUGAAUAACUAUUAUGAGAUCAGAUUUUUCGAUCUAACAAAAAAUGUGUCCAAGUACUAUGUUUUAAGAACGGAAACAUCUUUGAGGGAAGUUUGAACUAACUAGAAGGAUUAGAGUUCUAUAUUUUGGCAGCGGAAAGAGAAACAGAAUCCGGACCCCAUAAGUAAACGGACAUGUUCGUGUUGGCUAACAAACAAAGCCCAUGGGGUAGGGCGUUGUUUAUAUUCUCCUCAACUUGAAAGCAAUUGCGUGUUUGACUUUAGUUGAAGAAGACUUUGGGAUGAUUAAUACACGAGUUUGACUUUUUAGGAAGAAAACGAAUGCCUUGGGACUUUGCAGUGGAAAAGAUUCGCCAAUCUAGGAGUUAUGAAAGCGGAGUAACACCUCAGUUUUUUUUUAUCAUGUCAUGUGCCAUUCAAGAUUCUCUAAAACAGAAACAAUAUCUAUGUCAGAUUCCAUUAAGACAAUUUCUCAUGCUUAACAAUAUCCCGCGUUACUCACUCCUGGUUAUAGAUUCCAAAUUGCUGAUAAAGUUUGAGCAUAUAUUCGACCUUAGAUUACAGGAAAAUUGAUAGAAAAGAAAAAAAAGCUUCCUCUCUAGAAAAUUACUACAGGAACAUUACAGCAUACAUUUUCUACAACACUCUUCUGGCCUUUACAAGUAAGUGCUGCUCAUGCACUUUCUUCUGUAUAUAUAUAGUUUCCCAGUUCCCAGGAUAUUUAACGACUUGAAGAAAUAAAUGAAAAGGCAGCAGAGAAAGAAGAGAAGGGAGUGGAAAGAAUUGAAUGAAUCCUAAAAUGUAAAAUUCCUAAAAGAAUUGUCACGCUGAGGAUGUGUCAACAAAAACCUCGUUUAACACAUCGUCCUCACCGCUGAACAGCUCUGCAUCCUUCUCUUCAUCACCUGAAAAAUCCUUUCUUUCCAACUUGGAAUGAGCUGCAGUAAAAAUUAACUUGUGGGUCCUAUCCAGUGCUUCUCUGGAGUGUCCUUGCGCACACACCCAUCUCCAGGAAGACCAAUUGCAUUUGAAGCCAGGCGAAGUUGCGUGAAGGAAAAUCAACCUAACCGCAACUCUUCCCAAGGACUUAAACUCAGUGAGAUAAGUUUCCCACACAAGUCUACUGCUUUGGGGAUUCACAAUCCUCAUUUUCCCAGUUGCAGGAUCCCUCUCCUUCAUCUGCACAGCACGAGCGUACACAGGGUCAAGCCCUUGCGUUCUCCAUUUCAUCAGCUCCAUUAGAACAAUAUGAGCCUCGUCCCUUGAAACCAGCCUUGUGAUGAGCUUAUCCACAUCUUUCUCUUGUUCCGCCGUCAAGUACUUAAACGGUGGAAGGUACUUCCCACUUGUGUCCCUAACCAAAUAAAGAGGGUCAAGAAUGUAAGCUGCGGCCCAAGCAGGGUGGUAGUUUUUCAUGAACCGUUUUUCAAUGACUCUCUCCACCACUCCUUCCGCAACCUGGAAUUUGGAGCACCACUCCUUCACUCGUGCCCUUAACUCACCCCAGAGUGGAAGGCAUUGCCCUACAAGAGGCCUCUCUGUCUCAAUCUCCAGAACCAUCUCCUUCACCAACUUAACCAACGAACGAACCGCCUCCAACUCAUUCCAGAACCCCACAUCUCCAAUCAUCUCCCCAACUUCCCUCGCAUUCGGGUCUUCAACGACCGCCAUUUUCAAAGACUCGUCCAAAAGCAACAGCUGCAACGCCCCAACCGAACUCAACAAGUCCUCCAUCAUUGCAUACACAGUCUCAAAAGACUCGAAGUCCCCCGAGGGCAACGGCAUUCGGAGCAACCACGCGUGUCCGUAUUCCUGCUGUUGGUACUUGUGGAAACUGCUCCUCACUUGAGUUUCGUGGUUAACGAAACUCGCCAGCUUGACACAAUUCUGAGCUACGGUGCUAAAGAGCGAGAGCUCCUUGCUGAAGUCCUUGAUCAAACUGUUGAACCCUUGGUACUGACAAGAAAGGUUAAUCAUCCACGGGUUUCGAUUCUCCAAGUUUCUCAACGCCUUCUUCUUAAACUUAUCCGCAACAACGCCAACACAUUGUUGCACGACAUUCCCACAAAUGCCGGUCACUGUCUCCCAAAUAACUUCUUCCGCAUAACUGGAAGGUGCAGAGCCGCCAACAAAAACCGUCCUUCUGUGCAAACUGGUCCCAUUGGGAAGAUUCACGCUCAUGUUAACCAACUUCUCUUCGCAGUACUUCGUGCCCUUCCAUUUCCACCCAUCCGAGGCUACUUGGAAGAACAGAGCGUCUCUGAUUCGCGCUUCUGAAUCUGCUUUAGCUUCUUCAAACUUCGCAUCCAAUCUGCUUCCAGUGAACUCUCUGACAGACACUGAGGGUAACCCGACCUGAUUAAGAAACGCUCUGAACUUGGGGUGCUCCAGAGCGGAGAAAGAGACAGAACCACAAGAUUCGUAGACCCAAUCAGCGAGAUAAUCAAAGGCGCUAUCGACUUGACUUUUGCUGAGAGUUGGACCAGGUGAAGUUUUGGGACUCUUUAGCUUCUUCACACUGUCUUCCAACAUAGCUAAAGCGCCCAAAUCCUCCUUCCCUCCCGACAGCACCAAAUGCGGUUGCUGCGGCAGCGCAUACGUCAGCUCGCCGAAGAAUCGCGAUGGAUCCACCACCGCCAGCGGCGGCGCUUCGGAGGAGGAAGCGGGGCCGGAAUCGGAGGUUCUCUUCCGGUAGUUUUGGUUGGUCGGGGAAGAUGGUGGAGAGACCGCCAUGGCGGCAGCGGCGGCGGAAGGGGAUACGGAAGAGAUUGGUUUGGCGGCGCAAUUGAAAUUGGGGCAUGUUCCGCGCUUUAGAUGCUCAGAGGCUGUGCGAGAGGGAUUGGAAGCAGAGAAAACGGCGUCGCAUAGGGAGCACCUGAGUUUGACGGCUUUGGGGAGCCCCGUUUCGGUGUUGUGCAGCAGCAUGGGUUCGAGGUGCGCCCAGUACCAUGCCCCUUUUCCCUUUAUAGCUUUGGUUCGAACCGUCAGCAACCCUUCGUAGCGCUUGUGCGCGGACUUUGCAGUGAGUUCAUCGGCAGAGGGUGUGGUACUCGCCAUCGCAAGUGGGAAGUUGAAGAAACAGUGAUGAUUUCAAUAGGAAUUGAAAGUGAUGGUUUUGUUUUAUUACAUGUUCAAAGGCUUCAAGUUCUGUGUUCUGUGCAUUCAGUCGGGAAAAGCAGACGGCGGAAGCGGCCGGAAUUUGAAUUUCCGGUGGGUUGCCAUGGAACUAAGCGACCAUCUCCAUCAGGACUUUUAGGGGGAAAGUGGGGUUUGUUAUUUGAAAGAUGUGUGUGAAAAUAUGAACGCUCUAGAGAAAACAAGAACAAUCUCCUUCACCUUCACGCCGAAAUUAUCUGCGAGUGGGGAACAUUCUUCAGGAAUGUUGAUGGGAACUGCUACAACGAGGUAACGCUGGAAUAACACCUGUUACGCAUCCCACGGACGAAACCAAGACUUCAUCAUGGCUGGCGCAGCCCAAUUCCCACUCUCUUGCAAGUGGAAAACACGCGCCCUGGAGGAGGCUUUAAGUUUUCAGUUUCCACAUUUGUUUCACGUUCUCUAGCUUUGUGUUUUUUUAAACCUCUCUUUAUUACUUCUCUACACUCAAAUUUAAAUUAUAUAAAUUUCAAUUUCCUAAAUUUUAUAUAAAUAAGCUUAUUUUUAAAUUUAAAUACAAUUUAAAUAUAAUUCAGAAAAAAAAAUGUGUUAUUAUAUAAAUAAAUAUAUUGGACUAAUUUAACUAAUAUUCUUAAUCACUGUAAAAGAAAUUAGAUUUACUUAUAGUAAAGUGUGGACAAAUAUUUGUUUAUUCUUUUCCCUUUUGCUUCCUGGGCCCUUAUUGUGGGUCUGUUGCCUGUAUUUUAAAUUUAAUGUAGGGUUUGAUUUUGAUAAGAAAACAAAAGGGACUUUUUAGUCUUUAUAUUUUAUACUCUUUAUUCGCAUUUGUUAACAAAAAUAGGGAAUACAAAUAUAUGGUUCCCUAGAAUACAUAGUUCACUUAAUUCUAAACUAAUUUAGAUGGGAUUUUUAAGAUAAUUAAUACAAAAUAAAUUAUUUAAUAUUCUCAGCAUAUUAUGAAAUUUCAUUUAUAGUUUGCAUAUAAUGAAAUUUCAUUUAUACUUUGCGUUAAAUAAAAUAUCUUGCACUAAAUUUUUUUCUAUAUGUUUAAGACUAUAAUAAAAUAUGUAUAAUUAUUUUCAAAAUUUAAAAAUAACGUACUUUUAUAGAUAAAUGAUUAAAUGGUUCACUGAAUGUAUAUUCCAUCAUAUAAAAUUAAGUUAUGAUAGGAUAACGCAUGUGAUGAGUUCAUUAUAGACAAAAUUCUGACAUUUCAACUAAUUACCUUUUCUUUUCACGCUCAAAUAACUCUCUGUAAUGUAUCGUGGUUAGGAAUCUCCGUGUAUUGUUUUAAGAAAACAAUAAUUCAUUACAUUAACAACACAUCAUACAAAGUAUUUUUUUUAAGCAAGUUAUUUUUUUUAAUUUGAUAUACAGUAAAUUUAGCUCCUCUUAUAGUUUUUUCAGUCCUGAAAAUAGAAAUACCUAGAUUAUUAUGUGUUUGUUUAGACUUUGAAAACAUCUAAAACUUAGGUUAAGUGAUCAUAUGAGACCAGUAAACUUAGGAAGUUUUUACACAACCAUGGUUUCCUUUUAUGAUGGGACUUUCUUCUUUGGAAGAAGAAAUUGAAGAAAAAAGAAGGGAGAAAAGCAGCAAGAUGUGCAUCUUUUUAGCCCUCAUGAUUUGAAAUGCCAAAAAUGGUUAAGGAAGGAACAUGUAUAGAGAGUAAGAGGGUGAGGAAGAGAAGUGUAGUUAGGGACUAAAAUGGGAGCCCCAUGAUCACCACGCGUACGGCUAAGAUUGAAAAACUCAUAUUCCUAAUUAUUCCAUCAGAAAAGAAAGCCAUAAAGUCUGAGGAACAGUGAGAAUGCUCAUUUCAAAUUUCACUCACUUUAUAAAAGUGGUUCAAGAAAAAAGCAAGAUAUGGGCCAACAAAUUCAUCACAAAAUUUGGAAGAUGAAAUUUUGGUGUAUGAGAUUAGAUUACAAACCACAUAAUUGGUGGUGACCCAAUGAUAGUCUUCAAUGCCAAACGGCUCCUUCUCUUAAACUCAUACCCAAGCCAAAAAAACUUCACGAGAAAAUAAAAUAGGGCAAUUUUAAGAAAAUAAAAUAGGCCAAAAAACUUCACGAGAAAACAAAAUAGGACAACUCUUUCAUCUUUUCCAUUAAGCACCUCUCUUUUUCUUCUCGGUUGCAGCAACCUACACCUCUAACUUUCAUUGCCGCAGCAAUUUUUCAUCUCCACGUCACCGCCACAACACCUCACAUGUCCAACGCUACCAUCACAUCUCACCUUCACAGUCUAAAGCAGAAUUUUUUUUUUUUAUAUUCCAGUAUAAUUUGGAAUACAUCAAAAUAACCAAUUUUAGUAAUUUGAAAAUUUAGGGUGAGAAAAAACUAGGCAGUUUCUCCUGCACCAUAUCAUUUUAAACAUGUACCCAACAUAAAUUUUAAAAUCUAAUAUUGUCCUUAACUUUUUUUGAAAUGCUACAAAGAAGUAUUAUCUUACUAUGGUGUGCGUUUUGAAACCUUUAUAUUUUUUGAAAUGCUACAGAGGAGUGUUGUGUUAAUGUAGUAUGGAUUUUGAAUGGAAGUGGUGGUGGUGUAGUGAGUUGCAACAGUGACAAUGGUGUAGUGAUUUUUUUUUUGUAGCAGUGGCAAUGGUGCUCACUUCUCCUUCCCUCUAGGCAACCAUCUUUCUCUUUGCUGCUGCUACCUUGCAACAAGCUUAGUGAUGGGUUGGGUGCAAAUAUAAUGUUGUUGGGGUGUAGGGUUGUAAUGUUCAUUGCUAGUGGAUUGGGUGCAAAUACAGUGUUAUUGAGGUGUAUGGUUUUAUGGUUCAUAUAGUGUUCAUUGCUAAUGGGUUGGGUGCAAAUACAAUAUUGUUGGGCGUAAGAUUUUAUAUCAUGAAGGACAAAUAAAUCUUUUAAAAUAAUAUUAUUGGAUGCAGUCUUAAUUGAUAUGGUGCAGGAAGAAUCUGCCAAAAAAACUAUGGAGGUGCAUGAAAAAUUUACCAAAAAAAAUACUUGGAUUGCAAACUACAAGUCCGUUUGUCAAUAGCCCAAGAUUAGUUACUAUCCAUUUUUUUUUAAAAUGAGCCAUUAAGGGCCACUAUGCAAAUGAAAAGGACAAGUUAGUGGGCUUUCCUUUUUUUCGUAAGGAAUCAAUGGCCCAUAAAGAAAACAAACAUGUAAAAAUGAAAAAAUAAACGCCCACCGUGGGGCUCGAACCCACGACCACAAGGUUAAGAGCCUUGCGCUCUACCAACUGAGCUAGACGGGCAGAUGUUAUAUGAUUGUUAUUCUUUAUUUAAGACAUUAACUAUCAUAAUUUGUUUUCCUAUAAUAUUUUGCAAAUACAAUUUCUUAUUUUUUAUUCAAAAUUUUAAUUCAUGAUACUAUACAUGUGAAUUAUUUUUAUCAGAAGUUCUAGCUAAUUUUCUUGUCAUUCGUAACUUCAUUAUUCAGUUUUUAAAGUUAUUUAGUUUUAUGAUAUUCUUCAAUCAAAUAUUGAUUUUAAUUGUUUGAAAAAGUGUAUAUUAUUUUUACAAAAUCUCAUUGUGUGGGAAGGAGGAAGAGUCUUACUGCCAUUUGUUUUUCGAUUGCAGAUUUGCUUGGCGGGUUUGGUGCCUUUGCCUUGAGUGGUUGGAGGUGGCGUUUGUGUCCCAUAUUGAUUCGGUGUUAAACUUUGCACAGUUUAGGAUGUGCCAGUCUUCAAAGUCAGUUAAUGAAGUGUGGCGCACAAUUUGGGUUGGGCUGGUGAGUGAAAUUUGGACCCACAAGAAUUUUAUUAUCUUCAACAGGGGAGUGGCUGAUGCGUCUGAAGUGUGUGCACGGGUGCAAGCAAAUGUUUGGUCUUGGAUUAAUGCUAGAUCUUGAUCCGCUUCGUUUCCCUUUUCUAGCUGGUGUAUGGUACCUUUGGAGUGUAUGAGAAUGGUUGUUUGAUGUAGUUUAAGUCUAUGUCCGGUUAGUGAUUGUGUUUGUUAGUUUGAGAAUUUUAGCUAGUAGUUGGUUUGAUAUCUCUUGUUUCCUUUGUACAAGGGUUGAACCACCCCUGAAGUGGCUCGCAUUUAUUAAUUUAUUAUUGCCGAUCAAAAAAAAAAAUCCCUAAUUUUACCCAUAUAUAAUCAAAUAAAGACAAAACAAGUAAUAUGUAAUUAAUAUAUAAAACAUAUACUAUUUUCUCUUAUUUGGAUCCAAAGAAGAUAUUCCUCUUCAUAGGGAUUUAAUACAAACGUUUAUAAACAAAACAUUUCAACAUAAAAAAGAUAUGUUCCUCUGACUACUCACUGAGGAACUCUAACACAUGCAACUUCAUCUGCUCCCGUGUAAAUUAACAUGAUCAUCUGCUAGCUAUUUUUAAGGAUUCUAAUAUAAAUCUGACUUUUAAGAACAAGCAUAAUCCAUCAAAUCCUCAUAAUUUACACAAAGUCAUCAAGUGUCUAUCAAAUUUAUCAUCCACAUUAUUCCUGUCAGAUUUCUACUGACUCACAUACUCAGACACUUGAUUCUACUUCCGGAAGACUCAUGUAUUGAAAUUAGAAUCCUCCUAAGACCUGCACCUGUCAUACUAUUAACUAUGAAUCCACAUAGUCAUGUGCAUAAACAUGUCAAUAUUUCAUCAACUCAUCAUUUCAUAUGACAGGGUAAAUUCAUAUGACCUGAAAGACGAGAUUAUAUUUUAAACCGUAGACAAAGUCAUAUGAACCUUCUUCGACUCUCACCAGUUGAAUACUUUCAUGUAUGUGAUUCCAUUAUACCAGUAGAGUCAGGAUUGUCUCCUUACGAGGCCUAACAAAUAAAUACACCCUAACAACAAUCUCAACACGGUAUUUCCUUUUCUGAAAAUACUAUGUCUUGAUCACACUUUCACACCAUUCCAUAUCUCAUUUAAUAUCAAACAACCAAAACUCAUCAAACAUCACAUUUGAAUUAAUUCAAGAAACAACAAACUAUUCAAAUACACUCGUUAACUCAUUCAAUUCCAAAGUCAUAUACAUUCUACAACAUUUAUUAUAUCUACAACUUUACAUUUCAAUCUCAAACAAAUUAUAUUUCAAUUCUCAUAAAAAAAACACUUUCAAUUCUCAAACAAACACUUUCAUUAACUUAUUCACUUUUAAAUCAAUGUAUAAUAUUCAAAAUUAACCAUUUCAGUCAAUAUAUUACUUUACUCUUAGAAAAGACAAUCCUGCAAGCAAAAUUUAAUAUUGAUGACCACGCCACCGCCACAUCCAGAUCUUCUAACCUAUUGAAAAGAAUAAGACUAGUUUCCCUUACCUUUACAUGAGCAAAUGCUCAUUAAGAGCUCCAAAUAUACCAAAAGCUUAAAGAUAAUUAACCUGCACCACAUAGCCCUGAUAAAAAAUAUAACUAUAUCACUAGGACCCUAAGCUAACAGAUAUUCACCUUGAAGCUAAAAGAUUUACAUGUAAAGCAUAGACAGAGACAACCUAACAAGUUCAAAAUUUGACGCAAAGAGAAGAGCAAAAAUGAACUUACUCUAUCUGAGAUUUUGAUCAGGCAGUCUUGUACUGUUCACUACCAGGAGUCCAAUGACAGACUUCGAUCAUCAAACUAAUAAGCAAGGAGAUCAGAAUCUUAGAGAGAAGGGGAAAGAAAGGAAAAAGGAACAAAAAUGAAUUUACUCUAUCAAAGAUUCUGAUUGGACAACAGUCUUGUAGUCCUCGCUGCUAGGAGUCUAAUGGCGUACUCCAAUCGUCAAAAUGAUGAGGGAGGAGGUUAGAAUCUUAGAGAGAAGGGUGAGGAAAGGGAAAAGAAAACUUCUAAAGAGCUGGUGGUUGUUUUAAAAUGAAAUCUGAAUAACUGAUUUUUCUAUUUAUAUGCUUUUUUUCAUUUUAAUAAUAAAAUAUUCAAGUGUCAUUUAAAAUGUACAACUUCUACUUUAAGGUUAUUUUCUAGAUCCUUACAUUCUUCCCAACAAAAGAAGUUUCGUCCCUGAAAAUUGACUUACCAGAAAAGAGAUAGGGAUAGGUUUUUCUAAUGGUUUCUUCCAAUUUUCAAGAUGAAUCACCAGAUCUAUCAUCCCACACCACCUUCACCAUAUUGAUGGUCUUGCCUCUGAGCUGUUUACUCUAAUGAUCUUCAACCUUAACUGAUUUUGCUUCAAAAGACAAGUUAUCCUUGAUUUGCACAUUAUCCACUUCCAAUACGUGAGAGAUAUACUUCCUUAGCUAUGAUACAUGAAAGACAUUAUGCAAGUUUACUAACUGAGGAGGUAUAGCAAUCUCAUAAGCCACUGGACCUAUCUUCCUUAGGAUCUGAUAUGGUCCAAUAAACUUAGGAGAUAAUUUCCUUGAUUUGAUAGCUCAUCUUACACUCUUGGUUGGUGCCACUCUCAUGAACACAUGGUCUCCAACUGCAAUUUCCAAAUGCUUUCUCCUUUUACCUGCAUAUGAUUUCUGCCUACUUUAAUAAACUUUCAUUUUAUCUUGUAUCUACUUCACCUUCUCGGUGGUUUAUUCUAAAUUAACUCAUAUAGUUAAAAAUAUAUAGUUUAUUAAAUAUAACUGUCACAUUUGUCAUUCUCUCAAUAUUAUUUCUCUUUUGUCUUUCUUCAGUUCAAUGUACAUUUCACAUAAUUCUCUCAAUUAAGCAAACAUAAAUAUGAAUUAUCUCAAAUUAACUAUAUUUCUUUUAUUCUUGUAUAAAUGUACGCAUGCUAUUUAUUAUCCACUUAUUUCCUUCCAUCUAUAUUUUUUGUCUUUAUCUAUAAAUUACGUUUAAUUUUUUUUAAAGGAAAUUUUAAUUGUUUAACUUAUAUCAUAAUUUAAAUUAUUUAUGUUAAAUUCAACAUAUGAUUUACAUUUAAAUGUAUUUUUAUUACGAGUUUCAUCAUAAUGAUUUUUAAAUUUUUUAAUUAUAGUACUAUUAUAUAUUUAAUUAUUUAUUUUGAUUAUAGAUUUUUAUUUAUUUCAUACCAUACUAAGAUGCGAAAAUACUAAUUUUUCUUACGUAAAACAUUUUAUAACAAUCAUUUUAUUUAUUUUAAAACUUAAAAUGUAUUUAAAUUAUGUACAAUUAUAUAUAUAUAUACGAAUAUAAAAUAUAUUUAACUAUUAUAACAUGAAUAAAUAAUUUAAAUACACUUUUAAAAUACAAUGAUGAAACAACCCCGUGAUAAAUAUACUAUCGCGUGGAGAUGUCACUUUCAAAUUGAAUAUUUAGAAACAUUUGAAAACGAUAGGGUUUGAAUAUUUUAGAACUGUAAAAUUAGGAUUUUAGUUAUUUUUUGUUUGGCGUGUUUAGUAUGUGGGCUAAUUAGGUCAAAACGAUUUGUGAAUAUAAUUGGGUUGACCCAAUGUCGAUCUAUUUUAUAAAAUGAUAUUAUAUUUUUAAAAGAUAAUAUUUGUAAUAUAUAAAUUAUAAUUCAAAUAUUAAAUUAUUAUAAUUAAGUUUUAAAUUAUAUUUUAUUUACAUGAUUUAAAUUUUAAAAUUCCAGAUAUAUUUUUAUUGAUUUCUUUAAUUUUCAAACAGGUAAGAAUAGCAAUAGCCCAUAUCCAUUUAAAAAUGGACCAAAUUGGGCUAUGUAAAUUUGUUUAGUGAGGUGUAUGUGAGUGCCAGCCCAACCGACCAUUUGAGCAAAAGAAAAAUAGAUAAUAUUUCGUAAAAAAGAGUUUAUUUUAUCACCAAAAAUCACUAUUAUGCAUUACUUAAUGAAGGAGGAAAAGUAUAUAAAAUAAUGGAUGGCCGGUGCCAACCGCUUGGCUUUCUCAUAACUCACAAACUACUUAAUUUAUAANNNNNNNNNNNNNNNNNNNNNNNNNNNNNNNNNNNNNNNNNNNNNNNNNNNNNNNNNNNNNNNNNNNNNNNNNNNNNNNNNNNNNNNNNNNNNNNNNNNNAGUUUAAUUCUCUAAAUUUAUUAAUAAUUUUCUAAGUUGGUGAAAUUUGAAAAUAAAGAGAUGAAAAGCAAGUAUGUGUAUGUGAAAGGAAUGUAAGAUAUGAGGAAUGGUAGAUUGGAGAGAAGAUGAUGGGAAGAUAAAUAGGAGGAAAGUCCACAUCAACAACCAUUUUCUGUUUAUUCUCAAUCCAACUAAAAUUCACGCAACUACCAAUUUUAUUGUCUUUUAACUACAAUUCACGCAACUCAUCCUCUCUCAGGCCACUUCUAUGUCUCCACGGACAACUUCGCCGUUCGGUUCCGCUCGGAGAAAUAAGCCGCGCCAACCGUUACCGUCGCCCCGCCGCCGGACGAACAACAAGUCGAAGCCUGUCAAGACCUUGAGGCGCUGCUCAUCGGCGCCGCUGCUUACACGUCUAGAUAACGGCGAUGCUGACGGCCAUUGUUGGAGAAGUGGAAGAGGCUCGUUUUUUCGACCUAAAACGUUUUCUGAUGCCUUUCUCUCUUCCCCUUCUCCCUUUUCCUCUCCGCGGAUUCACACUAAACAGGUUAUUCUCAACUUUACUAAACGCUCCUUCUUCAUUUUUAUUAAUUAUUAUUAUUAUUAUUAUGAAAAUAGAACUGUUUACUUUUUGCAACGUUUACAACGAACAUCGUGUUAUUCUGUCCGGUUAGUAGAAGGCUGAAAUUAGGGUUGAAUGAUUAUAAAUUACGGUGGUGGGAUGUGAUGACCUUCUAAUUUUGAUGAAUCCCUUCAUAUAUCUUGCAUGAUAAGGUCACUUAAUUUGCUACCUAAUCAGCGAGAGUCUGUCUCAUAUGUUUCUUUUCGUUUGAGGAAAACCCAAAAAGGAAGUUUGGUAUGAACAACUAAACUAGAUUAAAGUGUAUUUCUUUUAUGAGGUGGUCCAAAAUUGGAAAGAAUCCUGAAGUUUCGGCCAAGCACUGUUAUUGUUCUGUAAGGUUUAAGACAGAACAGGGUCAAAUUUGAGGGAGAGAGAGGCUUUUGUUUUUUUUCUUCUUUUGUCUCUCAAACUUGCCAUUGGCUAUGCUUUUCGUUUGCGCAACGCAAGAAUAGCCCUGAAAAACUUGAGAGGUGGCGUGAAGAAUAUCAUAUCAAGCAUGCAUUAACUACUUGUUUUUAUCAAAAUUCCAAACCACGAACAUGAUUCAUACAUGAAAUGUUCAUUUUUUAAUCUUCCUAAACAAAUAAUAUUUGAAGAUAAUAAUUGCGAUGCUUGGUUAUUUAAAUUCUUUCAUGAGCAUGGAAUGUCUUUUUGUUUUUGCCAUUUGUGGUUGAAUGAGCAUGGAGUGUAAUUUAAUAAUCUAUCUUACGUAGCACCUCAAGUGGUAAAGAUUUAAAUAUUAGACUUAGUAACGUAGUAUGCAUGACUUUAAACUAAUUACUACUUGAGAGAACUAAAAAUAAAGACUAAACAUGGUCAAGUAGUGAUUGCUUACAUGUGAUCGGAAGCACGCGUUCCUCUUGGUGAUUGGUGAUGUGUUAUUGUAUUAUUAGAUAAUAAAGGGGUACGACAAAGAGGCUAAGGUGGUAGUUAAUGUGACCGUUGAGGGAAGUCCAGGGCCAGUUCGAACCAUGGUUAAACUGGGUUCCAGUGUGGACGACACAAUCAAGCUUGUGGUGAAUAAAUACAGAGAAGAAGGAAGGAGCCCAGAUAUCAAUCCUAAUAUGGCAUCUUCAUUCCAAUUGCAUCACUCCCAUUUCAGUCUACAGAGUAAGUCAAAUUUUAAAUAUAUCACUCAUUACUUUUCCAGAGCUGUAAGUAAAGAUGAAUAGUAGUAAUUUUGUUUAACCUGUGAUUAUCAAAACUUGACAUAUACGUGAAGAGCAUUUUAUUGGAGAGGUUAUUAAUUUGGAUUACGACCUUUGCUUGGAAGGUUUGGAUAAAUCAGAAGUGAUUGCUGAUGUGGGUAGUAGAAGUUUUUAUCUGCGGAAGAAUAGCGAUGCUUCUGUUAUGACUUCAUUUCACUCUGGAAGUGCUCCCCAAUUAGUCAUUCGUGGCUCUACUCCAUCCAUAGCAAAUCCUCCAUUCUUGUUCCCUUCUUUCCUUUCCCGCAAGAUUAACAAAAUUGUAAGAAGAGCUCAGCGUCUUUGGAACAUUCUAGUUUGCUCCCAGUGAGGACGCUCAGAAUCUCUUCAAUCAAUGAUGGGAAAAAGCAACAACUUUUUAUAUGUUGCAUUUCAACCCUUCAUUUCCACUUUUUAUACUCAAAUUACAAAGGUUUCUCUAUGUUUUUUUUACUUGGGUAAAUAUUACCUUUACCCUUUUUUAGAUUUUCAUUUUUUUAUACACCGAUAUGAGUUUGGUCGGAACUCAGGUGGUUCUGAGUGGUCUCCUUUCAAACUCUAGUGAUUCAGCUCCCAAGGAAUGAGAGAAGACUCCAUCUGCAUAAAAUACUCCGACGCUCAAGUUCGUAAGAGCAUCAAAUUCAGUGUGUAUAUAAUGAGUAUUGUUCCAGAAAAUGAGUUGAGAAUACUCAUUGUAAGUAGUAAUCUAUUUAUUAGUUUAUAAACUUUCAUGAACUUGGAUAUUUGAAGUUGGUUUCUCCAGCUUUUAAUGUGAUAUAUUAUAGUAUUUUUUUUAUGUAAUAUAAUCGGAAUGGACAUUGUGUAAAUAAAUUAGAGCAUUUAUAUCAUAUAAUCACGGACAUUGUGCAGGUAAAUCAAAACAUUUAAAGAACUCAGGAUAUUACGCAUUAAAAUCACAUUAAUAAAAUUAAUUUUCAUAAUAUAUUUAUCUAAAUUAAUAUUAUUACAUUAACAUAAUUAUGUUGGAAUUUAGAAUAAUGGUCCAAAAAAUCAUGAUGAUCCAAAAAAUCAUGAUGAUCUUAACCUUGGAUGACAGGUUGGGUUAAUCUGUGUAUGGCCAACCAAAUUCGGAAUUGUGCUAUAAGUGAACAUAAGCUUCAUCAUAUUAAUUUAUUUUUUUAUUUUUAGGUUGAAGUAAGUUUAAAUUCACUUUUAAAAUACAUCCAAUUUAUUCUAAUAAAGUCUAUGUAUAUGAUCAUAGCAUGUAACCUCUUAAAGUUACAAAUCUGACUAUAAACAGAAGUCAAUCUAAUGGGGAAAGGAAAUGUGUGAAAUUAAACUUUGAAAGGAAAAAACAAUACAGUUUUGAUUGGCAAUUUAGUUUAAUUGUUCGGGUCCAAGUUUGACAAGUCAUGUUUCUAAACUACACAUCCCUUCCAUAUAUUAACUAUUUAAUUAACGACCCACAUUGCACAUUACUUCUGAUGAUUUUGUAUCUCCAAAAUGCCAUUAGCAUCUUCUCAAUCUCAUUUGAAGGCAUUCACAUCCUCACAGUGAAAAAAUGAAAUCUGGAACUUUCAACAGUUAUAGCUUGUGGUGUUUGAUUUAUUAAUAUGAUCUCCAAGUUUGUUCCACGGAGAUUGGAGUGAGAAGAUGGGGUUUCGAAGGAUAUUUAACAUUAAUAUUUUAAAAAAUACAAAAAUAAUAAAAAAGUAUGACGAAAUAUCGAGUAUAAAUUUGAAUAAUAUAUAAUAAAUUCUCAUGUAAUUUACAGUUAUAUAUGGUUAUUACUGUGAAUUAUAAGAGAUGUGUAAGAUACUUUGCAAAGUUUAAAAAGAUAGUUUUUUCAUCAGAUAAAGAAAAAAAAAGGAUACAGUGCGGUAGAGUAUGUAUAAAAAUAAUAAGAAAACAAAUUAUGUACCUUUAGAAACGCUCUUAAGUUUCCUGUUUAUUGUACGAAUUUCGUAAAUUUAAUGUUUAUAGUAAUAAGUUUUUAAUUAAUAAUUAAAAAAAUUAAUGCACCCUUUAAUUAAUAAUUUUAAUAAAAUAAAAUAUUUAAAAAUAAUUGAAUUUAUAAAAAUAAAAUAAAAGCUGUUGUAAAAUAAAUUAGAAGUUAAUAAAUUUUUUAAACAAGUAAAAAAUAAUAGUUGGAUAUUAUAUUAAUGCCUUUUUUAUAUUUUAUAUCUUAUGUAUCUAACAUAACACUUUUUUAUUUCUUUAAAAUUAACGCAAUUUUGAUUACUACUUUGAACAAAUUAAUAAAAACAAUUGUAAAAAAAAGCAUACUUUAAAUUUAGACAGGAAUAAAAAAAGUGAUGUAUGUGUAAAAUAAAAUAAUUGAAAAUUAAAACAGAUGAAAUAAUAAUUGUACUCCAAUCAUAAAAGUUUGGGUUCAUAUCAAUCAAGUAAACAGAAGGAUGAUUUUUUUUUUAAUUAUUUUUUUUUUAUAAUUUUUUCUUUAUAUAUUUCUGAAAGCUUUAAAAUGAUUGAUUUUAUUCUAAAUAGCAAAUUUCAGUUUUGAUUUCUGUACAAAAAUUCCAAAAAUUUAAAAUCAUUAUUUUCAUCUCUAAAGUUUAUUAGAAAAUACAUAAAUUUUUUUAAAAAAAUAUUAAUUUAACAACUGCAAGUUGAGAUUCACCAAUUUACAACUGCAUUCAAUACAAUUUAAAAAUGUAAAAAAUUAUUUUCUUUCUAAUUAUAUUCUGGUGUAUAGUUUUCAAUAUAUAAAAAAUAUAAUCAAAUAUCAACAAAUGUUAAAAUUUUGAUUACCACCUCCAAAAUAUUGUCGGCUUUGGAGAUUGAUGUUUAGGUCUUAACCUUAAAUGACAUGUCAGUUGAUGAGUUGGAAGAAGAAGAAAUAUAUAAAUUGUCAUUAGUCUCAACUCCUAAACCAUGUGGACCUAUGAAGCACACACAUUGAUACGGACACUAAUACAAUAUGGACAGACACGAAGAUACAUAUAAUCUCUAAAAUGUAGGACACGUGGACGCAAAUUUAUAUAUUAUAUAAUUAUGAAUUAUAUAAAUUGGCAAUAAAGAUUUAUGUGCUCAAGUAUGUUUCAAAUUUCUUUUAGAGCAUAAAGAUGUUUUUCAUGACAUGUUCAAAAAUAUCAUAAUAAAAAUUUAUAUAAUAAAUUUGAGUUUUUAGAAAAUUAAUGUAUUUUUUUUUUAAAAUUGUGUUAGAAUCGUGCUAGAAUUGUCAGAAAUUCAAUAAAUAUUUUUUGAAUUAUACUUUUUACCGAUACGUGUUCUACAAGUACCUUACGAGUGUCCGUGUCCGAUACGUGAGUCCGACACGGACACACUAUUUAAGAGGAGUGUCCGAACCUCAUAAAUCUGGACUAUAUUAGCGGUACAAAAAAAAUUAUAAAUUAUAUUUGGCUAAUGUUGUAUUCAUUAAAAACACAAUUAAACGUUAAUAUUAGACAACAAUAUUGGAUGAAUAGUAUUUAACAAAGUAUCCAAGAAAAAGGGAUGGUUGUUUUAGUUAGUGGUGUUGCGUGAAUGGCGUGCAUGGCUUGCACCUCCUACAAAUGCAGAGGAAGGCCAAGGCGUGCAAACUGUGCACGUACUCGGGAGAGGCUCCGACGAACGUACGCCCCAUCACUGAAGGGGUGAAGAAGGAGGAAGAGACAAUGUCUGAUCUAUUCGCUUGGCUCAUCUCCUUCUUCCUCCUUAUUAUCUUGCUUAUCCUCGUCACUUAUCAGGUUUUUUUCUUCUCCAUCAAUAUCAUUAUCAUCUUCAUCUUCUAAGUUCCGUUGAAUGUUAUCAUAUCAAAAAACAAGUUAUAUAUAUACGAUGCUGUUUGGUCUGUUUCACGGUGAUGUGAUGUCUUGUUUCACGUUUGUUGCAGCUAAUGUGCCUCGCAGACCUAGAGUUCGAUUAUAUAAAUCCUUAUGACUUAUCUGCUCGAAUAAAUAAGGUGGUUUUGCCUGAGUUUGUGACGCAAGCUGUCCAAUGCUUCUUCUACCUUGUUACUAGGCAUUGGAUAAUGGCACUCCUUUGUGCUCCUUAUCUUUUACACAACAUCCGAAUGUAAGUUUCUACAACUAAUCUUUGCUACUUUCUUGUUUCUUGAUGAUACACAAUCACAAAUUCUACAAAUGUUCCGGUCUUCAGUUUGAGAGUGAGAACAACGCUCGAGUUUGAACUUUGAGAAUUUCUAUGCUCAACAUUGAAACAAACACACGCUACGAAAACUAAUUAUUCCAUUCCUUGAAAACCUUAUAGAAGGGAAAAAUAUGUACUUUUUUUAUCCGUUAAGAAACAAUAAAAUUAUAUAGAUCCAUUUAAGAAGUGUUAUAACUCUUAUUCAGAGUAAAAAAAAAUAUCUUUCUAUAUACACAACAGAAAAAAAAAUAAAAAUUCUUACGGUCUAUUCCAACACAACCAGCUAAAAAAAAAUAAAAAAUCAAGGAUCGAUAUUAAAUCAAAUGCAUACAUAUUAAUGGUUCUAGAUACUAGAUAAAGUUAAAGAAUAGACUUAAUUACACUUUGGGUCUUUUGGAGGAUGAAUUUAAUUAGACUGUGGGUGUUUGGAGAUAUUUUACGUUUUAGAGAGUCUAGGAAUGUUUAGAGAGCUGAAACAAACCAAGUAAAAAGUUCUCACAUUCAGUUAAAUUUUCUUUUAUGUCCUGAUUUGUGUUCGUUUACAUAUGCAACAUAUAUAUAUAGCCAGUAUUUCCCCCCUAUUUGGUUUGGUUGUAUGGAGCUGAUGGUCAAACCAAACAAUAUAUACACACCAGCUUAUACACGUAAAAUUCUUCUGUUUAUUUCUCUACCAGCUGGAACCUUGGAAAGUUUGGCAUGUAGAUAGUUGCAUACUAGUUAGAGGAUUAAAGGAGAUGAAUUGAAAUUUUAAUGUACUGAAAUGUGGAUAUUGAUUGCUUAUUGUAAUCCUUUAAUCAGGUAUAGACAAAGAAGGCAUUUGAUUGAUGUAACUGAGAUAUUCACCCUUCUCCCUUGGGAAAAGAAGCAACGGCUUGCCAAAUUCUUCUACCUUGUUUUUACCCUUUUCCUCUCUGUAUUUUGGUAAUGUUAAUUUCAAAAAGGCUUAUUUGUUGUCUUUUCAUUUUAUAGAUUUUAAGAAAAUGGAUGUUUUAAUUCAUAAUUGCUUGUUGCAGGAUGAUUUACACAUCACUGGAUAAGCAAUUGUAGUGGAUUGGUUGUAUUGUGGCCUGCUGUAAACUCCCAGAAAUGUGUGGCAGAGAAGAGUUAAUUACUUGUGAUACUGUUAUCAUGAAAUUUAGAGGUGAGUUGCUGGGUUGUGUUGUUGUUUAUACUUGUAAAAAGUGAUAAAGAAUAAUAUUUUGCUUGUGUUUUUUAGGAGGGGAAAUUCAUGGGAGAUUUGUUUUGAAGGAAGAUUGAAUCGGCAUCCACAUUACAACUUAUGUUUAGAAUCAGAACAGAAGUAUAUUGAUUCUUAGAACCUACUGGAAUAGAGGAAUGUUGAGUUAUGAGAAUGUUGUAUACAAGAGUCUAAUGGAGGUGUUAGCUAUAAGUGUUAUACAUAAGUGAGAUAUGUUGAAAACCUGUAAUGAAAGUAUAUUUUUGAUGAAAUAUGGACUUCAAGUAAAAAAAAAAUAGAACAAAUUACAAUUAUAAAUUAUUACUUUCUUGUUGUAAAAUAACAUUUUUCUAUAUGUAAUUAAAGAAAAGAAAAAGAUAUUUUUGACACCAUUAUUUUCAAUUGACAUCCUUAUAACAAGUGUAAAUAAUAAUAAUAAUAAUAUAUUAAAUUGAGUAAUUUAAAUAAAAUAGAAAUUAUGUUAUUAAAUAUAAAAUAAUAAAAUGAGUUGUAGGGCUCAGAUUGAAAAUUUUUGGAAGUGUCAACUAUAAUGGUCCUUCAUCAAUAAUUUUUCACUUUAUCCUCUCAUAUUAAAAACCACAAAGUUUGACCACCACAAAUUUGAUAAUAAUUUAAUAAAUUCAUAUUUUAAUUAUAUUUAUUUUUUUCAGUUUAAAUUAAAUAAUAAAGCUUGUUUGAUAUUGUAUACACAUCAAAAUAACUAUUUUACAAUUAUUUUUUAAAAUAAUUAUUAUAUCAUAAUAAAAUAAUAAUUUAUUUAGAUAUAAAAUUAAUGUAAUCGAUAUCAUGUAACAUUAUUAUUAAACGGAAAUUUAAAAUGAGAAGCUAUGAUUCUUUCAGAUCAUAUAUAAAAACAAAUAAUGUUCCUUUACAUCUAUUUUAAUAAUAUAAUAUAUAUUGAUAAUUUAUAGAAACAUAUAAUUAAAAUAAUAAUAUAAUAAGCUGUAAGGGGAGUAUUUUUCUUGAACGGUUUUCAAGGAGUGGUACUCUAAAAAUAAUAAUUUGACACUCUAAAAGAAAAUUACACCCACUUAAUAACUAUUUUAACAAUACAAUAAAAACAACAAGGUUCCUGUACCAUAUUACUGCACACAAUUCAAGUGGAAAAGACAAAAAUAAUUUUAAUGUAUUAUUUUUUUUAUUGCAGAUUUUCUUAUUAAAAAUGGAUUUUUGAUUUUUUUUCCAGAAUUUUAUUUCAAGAGAACAUAAAAUGUUCUUUCAGAUUUAUUUUUCCAAAAUAUAUUAUUUUAAAUUUUAAAUUUUCAUAUCUGAAAUAAAAGUAUUUUAGGAAUUUUGAAAUUAUGCUGUUGAAAAAUAUUGGAUGUAGGAAGAAUUUGGCAAACAACAAUAUAAUAAGAACAUGCAUUACUAUUUUAAGUUAAAAAAAUAUAAUUAAAAUAUUAAUAUUAUAAGUUGUAUAAUGAAUGUAUUUUAUUUUUGAAAGGUGUAAAAGUAUCACCCCUCCAACUUUAAGUUAUAAUUCUUGCUGUUUUGUUAAGUUCACUCCUACCCUUUUUUUUACAUUUUUUAGAACACAUUUCACAAAAUAUACCCGAAAACUUAUUUUACUGAAUCAGAGAUUUCAUUAAUUUCUUUUUGUAAAAAAAUUAAUUAAACAUAAAUACAAGUUUCUGUUGUGUAUUUCAAACACAACGAAAUUUUAUUUUUGUUGUGUAUUAAAAAUAUUAAUAAAAAAUCAUUAAAUAUAAAUUAAUUUUAAAUAAAAAAUAAUUAAUUAUUAUUAAAUUAAAUAUUAUUUUAUAUAUUAAAAUAUUAUUAAUAUUUAAAAUAAUUUAUAUAAUUAAUAAAUAAUUUUUAAAUUAUAUUUAAUUAAUUAUUAAAAUUUUAAUUAUUAACUAUUCUUACUUAAUAAAGAUCCAACUCCGACCAUGCCGUAAUUAGUUGUUAAACACCCUUUGAAAUUAUAAAUAAAUAAAAUAAAAUAAAAAAAUGUAAAUUUCCAACUUUCCUCAAACGAGACAAUUCCAUCCACUUUCGAAGCAAAGCAAUUAAAUUUAGGUGAGCCAGAAAAGCCAAAACUACGCAAAAGGCAUCUCUGGAUUCUUAAACACAUUUUUUUAGCGUUGAAAUCACGAAUUGAAUAUAUUUUUAGAUGUUUCUGAAAGUCUUUUUAUUAGUUUUUGUAAAGAAUGUAUUCAUUAUUAGUUCUUGUACUUUAAAAACAAUAUAAUUUAAGUUUGUCCUUUGAAACUUUAACUUAAAUAAUUUUUAAAGAAUAAAAACGAAUAACCCUAUGUAAAAAAUAUCAUAUUUUUCAAAUUCUAAUUUUGUGUUGGACUGAUAGGAAAGAAAUACAGAAAAAAAAUGUAAUAAAGAAGAAGAAACGAAUAUGGUUUCGUUAAAAUUAUAGAUGAAAAAGAAAAUGAAAAUGAAUUUUUUUUAUUAAAAAAUAAAAAAUAAAACAACCAUAAAAAUGAAGUAUAGUAUUGACAAACUAAAAUAAUAAUCACGUGUCUUUAUUUUAAUAUAAUGUUUUUAUUUUUUAUAAUACGAAGGUUGGAUUGACAAUAUAAUUUUUUAUAAUUUUUAAAUUCAUUCUUUUUAUUUUAUAUAUAUAUAUAUAUAUAUAUAUUUCAUUAGUAAAAAUAAAGAUCAAUUAGAUUGCAUGUUAUUUUCUUCUUUUUCGAUCGACUAAUCAUCUUCCUUCCUUCGUUUCGUUUAACCAUUUAACUUCACCUUGGAUUACUUUUGCUACUUCUCAUCUACAGCUUAUCUCCUUCGAAUGUUCUCGGUUGAGAUGAUACCAUAAAAAAUUUCCAACGAUUAAAUAAAUAUUUGGUAUUCGGUGUUCGAUGUAAUUAAUACGCGACAAUAAUAUACAUUUUCUCAAAACCUGUGACUAUUUAUAUAAUUAUUAUAGAUCCAUUAUUAUUGAGCCGAAUUCACGUUUAAACCAUAAUUAAAAACACAAAUACUAAAACCACAUGUACCCGGUACCUACUGGUAUAAUAUUUAAUUCCAAGAUACUCUUCCUCACAGGUUGGAGUAAAAUUAAUGAAAUUUCAGGUGCAUCCUGAUUUUAUUUCCCCAACAGAUGUUUAGUACAUUAUUUUUAUACCUUUUAUGAUUACAAAAAUGUUUUGAAAUACAAAUCCAUUCAUCAAGUCCAAGGAAUUUCUGUUUCCUUUGAAUAUGUUAGUGUUCAUUGUUAAUCUCAUUUGAAAACGUGUUGGCUUUGCACUUGCAUGAGCAGGCGCAUAUCGGUUAAAGAUUCUUUACAGAAGCAGCCAAUAAUGAUCUUUUGUAGAAACAAUGCAAUGAAAGACAAGGCAGUGUGCAACUUGGAUCGUAACGUUUAACGAACAAACAUUGUUGGUUAGCUGAAAAUGUGAGCCUAAUUUAUUCGUGCAACUUGGUGAGUUGUCAUUAUCGUUUUAUCAGAUUAUCAGGUCAUUCAUAUGAAAAGGAAAACAACAUCUGUUCUUAAUAAAAAACACUGACAUCAUUUUCUUCUCCUUUCUAACUGUUAUUUCCUUGGCUUUCUAUCAUUGUUCAUACUCCAAACAUAUGCUUUCUGCAAAUGUAACGACACAAAAAGGGUCAGGUGGCUAACUUGCUGCUAUAAAAAUUACUAUAAAAAGUUUUCUAUAAUAUAGUGUGUGUGUGUGUGUUUGUUCUUAGCUAUAUAAUUUUACUUCAGGGUAUAUGUGCAGGGUAUGUUGUCUGUUGUGGUAUUUUACUGUUUUUAUGGUUACUUUCAAAGUAUUUAGGAAAUUUUAAAUAAUUAUAUUUUCAAUUUUCUCAUUAUUUUUUGUUUAUUUUUUCAUGGUAAUCUCGAGAUAAUGCAAACUUAGGGUUAGUUUGAAUUAAUUAAAGAAAAGCAUCAGGAAAUUAAAAAAAUAAAGUUAUAGAUUAUAUACCAAGAUUCAGGAUAAAGGCUAAUAUGUUAAUGUAAUAGAACACUUUGUUUAAUUUUUUUUUUGUAAACAAUUGAAAUACUAUCAAGUUAUUAUUAUUAUUUUCUUAAUUUAUUGAUUCUUUGUGCUGAUUAAAAAAUAUGCAAAGUUUCUACAAGAUGAAAUUUUAAAAUGCCCACUUGUUUUAUUUUAUGAAAAAUGAUAGAUAGAGUGUUGGUGUGUUUUUAAUUAUGUUUCUUAUUAUUUCUCACAACUUUUUAGUUUUUCAAUUUUUGUUAUUAUUUAUAAGAACAUAUAUCCGAAAAAACAAAUACAAAAUCUCUCUUCCUUGUUUGUUAUUUUUUUUUUAUCGGGAACUUGUUUGUUACUCUCUUGUUCAGACAUUUUAUCUAUUGCAAUGCAGUUCUUGUUUUAUAAAAAUAUAUAGUCAAAUUUGAAUUAAGCCUAUAAUUUAACUCAGUUUGUCUCACUUAUAUGUUUGAAUCAAACAUGUGGAUUGUGUUAUACCUUACCUCUUUGUAUAAAAGACAACAGAGUCAUUGCUAAUUAAGAAACUCUUAUAUUAUGCAGAGUGAAUAAAACUUGUUUUAUUUAUUUAUUUUUAGUCACUGAUUUUUUUUUUCUGCUUUCUUUCCAACUUAUCAUAAAACAAAGGUAAACAAAUCCUUAAAAUAUUAUGUGGAGGUUCUUGUUGGCAUUUCAUUUGUUUCUUUCCUUUGUCCUUUUUUGUUUGUUUACUUUUUGUCCUAUUUUUUAAUAAUCAACAUUUCGUUUGUUUAUAUUUUCGUCUUCGUCACUGAUUCACACUUGAGAUGACGCAUCAAUUCAUUGGUUUUGGCUUGAUAUAUGUCUUACAUAUUAACCGAUCCGUAAUGAACAAGAAUUAAGACAAUAAUUAUUUAAAGAUUUUUACAACUUUUUAAGUUAUAAUAGUUUGGUUUAUUUAGGUAAAAGAAAUAGUUCUGUUUAUCAAUUUGAUGUUUGACGUACUAUCAGUUUUAUGAAAAAAAAAAUAAAGAAUUUUUAUAUCAUUAUACGUUAUAAAUUAUCGUGUAAAAUGAUUAUUGACUUCUACAAUUAUAUCAUUGAUGAUUUUUGCUGUAAAAUAAAUUCACUAAUAUAAUCUUAAUAUAGUUGUUACAAAGUGGACUUUAAGCCUAACUCAAUCCCAUAAAACCGGCUCAUAAGGUUGAGGUUUGCACCCACUUGUAUAUAAUGAAAGGCUUUAAUCUCUAGUCGAUGUGGGAUCUCCAACAAUAGUAAUAUCAUUAUUGUGGUAUAGGAUUUAAUUAGAAAAGAAAAACUACUAAGAUUACUUAGCAACAAGCUAUGUCAUCAAAGUAAGUGGUCAUGUCAUUAGAUUUAUUCGUGUCGUACUACAUCUUUCCAGUGCUCUGAAUCUGAUUUGUGAUAAAUGUUAGUGUAGAUGAACAUACAAAAUGUUGAUGUCUUGGAUAGCUGUUAUGACUUCCUAAGAGCUCAACCUAAUAUCGUAAAGCAACUAUUUGGCAUGUCCCCCGAUAGACGAAUGAGAAAGUUGGUGAAGAUAAUGAUUGAGUCUCCUUGAACCUACAUUUUUCUUGUAUUUAGUUAUGCAUAGUUAUUUUUUUUAUUGGAUAUGUAAUUUUAUUUAUAACACAAAUUGACACUUGCUUUUAAUUUAAAUAUAAUAUAUUUCAAUCUAUAUGACGGUUUGCAACUAUUUAUUUAUUUAUUUUUUGGUUGUUAUCAUCAAAUUGUAUGCAACUGUUCACUUAUUGUAUCCAAAAAAAUUCAGUAAGUUUUGUAGGAAUGAUGUCUUCAUCUUCUAAGAGACAACAUAGUUGUCAAGAGGGUAAGGAAAAAGCUCAUGCAGAUGAUUAAGUUCCUUCUGCACGAGUCCCUGAUAUUGAGGACAUUUUUAAUCAAUUACAAUUUUUUACCGAGUGAGAGAAAAUGUUGGAGUAUGGCAGGUGAUUUUAUAAUAGAUCGAUCAUGAUCCCUAAAGUAAUGAAUUUUGUCUUCUUUCAGGCAACAUGAUUUGAGUCUAACCAUCCUUUGGAACAUCAAGAAUUGAAACAGCUUUGAUGUUUUGAGGAUAUGAUGAGAGUGUUUUACACAAAUCUUAGGAUUAUAGACGAUGGUAUCCCCUAUUCCAAGGUGAACCAAAAGCGAAUUAUUGGUGGCCUUCCCUAUUCCAAGGUGAACCAAAAGCGAAUUAUUGGUGGCCUUCCAAAUUGGUUGGCGUUAACUAAGUUGAAGUUCAAGGGACUAAAAGUGAAUGUUGCAAAGGCCUUAUGAUGAUCUAAACUACAAUUAUGAUAUGGCAUUGGCAGUCAUUAUGGGCAAGGGAUGCAAGGUCUUAAUGUCAAGAUUGUAGGUAGUCUAUCAGUGGAUGACACAUCUUGAGUCUACGAUGAAGUAAUUAUUCUCAAUUGUUGCAUGAAGACAUUUUCAUGUUAUGGGAAAUCAAAAUAAUAUUGUGAUUAACUGACCCCAUUAUAUAAUGGCAUAAAUAUCGAGACCACAACAUGCAUCUUCCCCAUGCUGUCACACGGAUCAUGAAUGUGUGCAAAGUUGAUUUAUCUCUAGAACAAGUCUCGAGCUCGGGUGGUCCCACUUCUUUGCGAAAAAAAUACUGAAGAAGUUAAAUAUCCAUCAGGUAUAUGGUGUGUGGCAAUAUGAGACAGAUCAAUGGGAGGAUGAGGAAGAUGACGCCCGAACGAGGAUGUUCAUGGCAGUGCACCUCAAUCCCCAAUCCAGGAUCACUCUAAAAUUAUACCACAAAUUUUGAGUAGAAUUUAAGAGUUGCAGGAAUCAAUCAGAACCAUAAACCUCAACAUCAACUCUCGUUUCAACAAGGUCAUGACAGGAUUGAACACUUGUAACAACAACUUUAUGAGGAGUCUUUUGAAUGAUACAUAUUUUUCUAUAUUAUUGUUAUUAUUUUUUGGAACAUGAUUAUAAUUUCAUAUUCUUUAUAUAUAUAUAUAUUUAAUAUACUAUGUUUAAUAUUUAUUAUGGCCAUAUUUUAUCUAUGAAUUUUGCUUCAACAUAAACAAAUUUCCUACAUUUCAAAUUGUUCACAAGCAUCUUUUUUUCCUUUACACACCUAUAAUUUUUUUAAUUGAAUCAAAUAUAGUUUCUCAAAAUCAUAAAUAUGUUCUGAAUAUUUGACAUAAGUAUUUUUUCUCAAGUUAGUUCUAACACUCUACCAAAAAUAAUUCUACUCCUUUAACUACAAACCACUAUAAUUCAUAAAUAAAUAAUUCACAAUUAUAUUUUUUUUUAAAGUGAAGCAAAUUAAGUUUCUAACAAUUAUAAAUAUGUUACAAAUAUUUUACAUAAUUUAUAUUUUUUUCAAAAUUAACUCUAAGAGAGUAUUGGAAAUAAUGUUUGAAUUACAAAGUCUAUAAUUCACAAAUAUAAUAAAUCAAAUUCAUUUUACAAUAAUUUUAUAUAAAAAAUAAAUAAAUUAUAAUCUUAUAUUUUUUAUUUAAAAAAAAAUUAUAAUUUUACUUAUGGUCUACGACAUCAAUUACAAACUUUCAUAAUUUUUUUCAUUUUUUAUAUAUUUUUUUAAAAAUUAUUUUAAAUUCAUUCCUUCAAAUUUAUUUUCAAAUUCAAACAAAUAUAAGAUUGAGUGUGGUGAGACUUGAUUAGAAGAGGUGAAAGAAAAGAAGAGAAGGCAUGUGAAAAUUGGGCAAACAAACAAAAUCAGCUCACCUACAACAGCGGCAACAACUACGGCACUUUGCCUCCUUGUUACCUUUUCCACAUGCUUUCCUUUUCACUCACCUCAUUCAUCCACUCUUAUGGAACUCAAUAUUUUGGUCUUUCAAGAGAAAUUCAAUCUUCAAAUACAAACCAAGUUAGAGGUUAGGUCAAGCUUUUCUCCAGAUUUCUGACACAUUAUAUCUUAAAUAGUUUAAUAUAUAUUUAUAUCGUGAUUUGAUGGGUCAUUAUAAUGUUGUUAAGGAAUUUAACGGAUGAUUUACACGGGUGUGUCUCUGUCAAACUCCUGUGUCGGCUUUUCUAAAUUUGAAUCAUGAGAUUAAGUCUUUGUUUGUCUUCAAAGUUAAUCAAAAUUCAAUUAAAGUCCUAAUAUUAAGUAUCUUCCACUCUGCGACAUGAAUACUUUUAAAAGCAAUCGAGAAUGAAUUAACCAAGCGUGACUUCAUAAAAAAAAAAAAUACUUUUAAUUUGAACUUAAUUGACAUUUUAAAAUAUUCAGAAUAUUUAAUUAUUUAUAAUUUUUUCGUUAACUAAUAUUCUCAUUUUGAUUUAAUGACAUUUCAAUUAACGAUACAUCAAUACUCCUUUUCAUUAUUUAACAAAAUUUUAUUCCGAUAAGUAUAUUUGCCUAACUCUUCUUUCAAUAGAUAAGGAUAUUACAAUAAGUAUAUUUGCCUAACUCUACUUAAACCAUCGAACAUAAAAACAGAGAACAAAUUAUAUGUCUUUUAUUUUUUAUUUUACAUUUUUUAAGAGAUAGCAAAUAAAUAUAAAAAAAAUUCAAUUAGUGAGAAAGGCGAAAAGAAGGGAGAGUUGAAUUUAAAAAUAGUAAACCACUAGAAUUAAUAGUGAUAAGAAUGGGGAAAAGUGGAUAUGUACACAUGAGCUUAGUGCUAAGGGAACAAUGAACCCAAUUUGUUCUGUAUCUACCUAAACUUGUGCCCCUGCCACCAGGAAUCCAAUUCUAUAUUCUUCUCUUGCAUUCACAACCUUCAAACACCUUUCCGCAAUAACCAAAAUCUGUUCUAAUUAAAAGGAGCAUUUAAAAUGGUGGCCACCCCAAUCCGCCAUAGCUGUACACAUCUAACUAUCCGUUUCCACCUACCAAACCCAACCCAACUCUCAACCAACUAAAAACAACCGCUAUCACCAAAUUCUACCUUUCAACUUUUUCUGCACACAACCCAAUUCUGAAGCAAAGAAUAAUAUGCUACAAAAAUAUGCAUAGAAAACCUCACCCUCUGUGUUCUAGCCUAACUCAGGAACAGGAUUUGAUUAAUCCCAAAUUGUAUAGAUUUCUUCUCACAAGACUCCCUAUGGACAACAACACUGCCCCACCAAUUCCAACCGCUUCAUCCUCUCUCUGUAUCUCCUGAUGGUUUAUCAACGGCAAUUCCUUCACUUCUAAAUUGCUUAACCCAAUUUUCUGCCUAACAGAUUCGAUAAUUUUUGAAUCAGCUGGAUUUCCAACCGCAUCCGUCACAUAGAAUAUAUUUGUAGCCAUGUUCCCUACAGUGGAUAUCUCAGCCCUGGUCACAUUCAGCCCAUUCUCGCGGAAAGUUCUCAUUACUUCUGCUAGAAGCCCCUGCCUGUCUUCUUUGCAUAACUCUAGUCGAACACCCUAUAAUCAAAUAAUUUAAAAUUAAUUCAUCUUCAACACUUUAUGUCAAAAGGUAAUAACAAUACAAACGCCAGAGGAAUGAAGUCUAUACCUCAGAUGCCCUUCUCUCUACAGCAGCUUUUAAGCAUUGAAUUACGCGUUGACGCUCUGGUUCUGAGCUAAUUGGAGUGCCAUCUUUGUGUCUUAUGUAAAACUCCUGAAGUGAAGAUAAGAACAAACUUAAGUAACAUAAAUUAAGCAAGGGGAAAAAAACUAGUUUUCAGGGAAGGAUGUAGAAUAAUUACCAAGUAUGCUCGGUCAUCAUUUGUGUUAAUAGUUGCAUGAAAUACAUCAUAUUCCAUGUCUGUCAAAUUGGAUACAACAUCGAAUAAAAGCUUGGUUCGAUCUUUGCACUGAACAUUCACGACUGAAUAGCCCCUUCCUGCCCAAUUCUGAACCGUCACCACUGGGCUAUCAGAAGUAACCUCAAGAAUGGGAGUCCUCUCAUAAUCACGGUCCGUGAACAUCAUUUGAUGUAGCCUUCUUUCAGUGUGCAUCGCAGCCAUAGAAACAGAAAUUUUUGCACUUCUGAUGUCAUUGUCUCCCUUCAAAACAUUUCUUAAGCGCAGUUCAAUCUUAUUAAAUUUCUGAGAGUCCUCAAUAGCAGACCCAGAACUAGAGUCUUUCACAUAAAUUAAGGAAGCAAUACGCCCAUUGUGAGUCCAAACCUUGGCCUCAACCACAUCACAUUGAAGAUCAGCCAGUACGGCAAACACCUCCGAUAAAAGACCAACUCGGUCAGUUCCUGUCAAUUCCAGCGCAGUGAGACCAUUAGAACUGUUGGUUCUCCCAUAGUGAAUGCUCCCAAGUGACUGUCAAGAGAAAAAUCAGAUUAGAUACACAAUAAACACUAUAUAUAAACAAUAAAUUCUAUCAGGUAACAUCGAAAUUGUAACUCAUUUAGUAGUUGUAAAGACCAUUAAAUACCUGCUCAAUAUAUUUUAAAACGCUUUCGUCCGUUAUCUUGUUUCCGUUUUGAUCAGUGACAUGAAAAACUGUCCAUUGAAUAGGCAAAAUAUAUUAGUACAUAACGCAUUAACCCAUCUCACGAGAAGAAACCGGAACCAAACCAGUGAUUAGAAAGGGAAAUGUCAAUUAGCUUACCAUCCAUACACCACUUGCCAUCAGCAGAAAUAUAGGCUUUCUUUAUAGAAAGAUCCAGGUCAGUGAGCACCUGUACAGCAUCCAAUAAAAUACCAUGUCUUCUAGCGCUGUCAACCUGUGAAAUUCAUUGAAAAAAGACUACUGUUACUUAAUUAUUCUUUCUUUACAUGAAAUCAAAAUAUUUUUGGAACAAUUAGUUCCCAUAUGCGCAAGAGUUUCUUUGGGAGGUUACCUUGACUAGAGUAGCUGAAGAGAACACGGAAUUGUCAAUAACAACCCUGUUUCAGAAAAAAAUUCAAAGUUAGCAAAAUUGAUCUGUCCCCUGAUUUCUCUUCCAAACAUCAAGAUACAAAGAAUGCACUAAAGGAAACAGCGACCUUUCACAAGAGCAGGAGGCCAUACGCAAUGAGAAAAGUCAAAAAAACUGUUAAAAUAUUAGCAGCUGACAAAUCAAAUUCAAAAGUCGGUGUGACUUUUGAAACAAAUAGAUAUCCUUUGAAAUAUAAGAUGCAAGAAGGAGCAAAUGCAAGGUCAUAGACACGAAACAUUCUUGUCUGCCAAAAAGGGAUUUCGCUGGAAAAAAAAAAAAAAACAGCACCUAUUUUCGAAUUAUCAGGGAACGAGUUGCUACCAGUCCAAGUAACAAAAAAUCAUGGCUCAAUGAUAAUUUUUUUUGCAGAAAAUCAUAUGGUGUAUCCAUAAAACAACACAAAAACAAGAAUAAACAGAAUGAUAGCCUAAGAUUACACAAAAUCAGGUACGAAACUUAUAGAUCGAUGCAACACAUAGAGAAUUACAAACUAAAGUCAGUCUCAACUAAAAGAAACAAAGAGACAACAAAUGAAAAGAGGUAUAACAAACCUGGGAGUGCUCAUCCGUAUUACAAGUUUUUCGUAUUCGUCCGUGCACGCAGGCCAUUCCAUUUUCCUUUUGCAGUUCUUCAAAUGAGAGAAGAAAGAUUCGUGUAUUUGUUUGAGAAUAGAGAAAUCUGAGGUUCGCACAGCAAGAGUCUUCUUUUCCUUUUUUCUUCUUCUUCUUCCCUUAACCGUGUGCAACAAACAGUGGCUCUCUUUCUCUCUCUCUUUCUAUCUAUCUCCGUGUUCACAUAGAACACCCUUAUAUAUAUAUAGCACCCUUUUAUCUUCAGGAAUAUUUUAUUAAUAUUGUGUAUUUAAUUUAAAAUAUUUAGUAUAGGGUAACCCUAGCAUGUCUAUACACAGGGAAAAUAGCACACACAGCACUGUCACAUGGCGUGACUAGCGCGUGGGCGCUGACCGAGCUUUCUAAUUUCGUUGCUCUGUUUCAAGUCACACCCCAUAAUUUUGUUAAAUCCUUUAACUAGCACUUUAAUUUUGAUUAAACAAAGAUGACACCUGUCUUUUUGGACCAAUCAGCGUGACUCGCAAUCCAGCAUGGAAAACACGUGGGAUCCCACGUGUCGAUUUGCUUGUUCUUUACUCAACAGGUAGGAACAUAUUAGGAGAGGGUGGAGCCACGUGGUGGAAUUUAGUUCAAAAUUAAACUGAGUAAACUUGGUAAUUAAGGUGAGAUUUGACGACAUCAAUGAUGACGUCUACACGUGAUAACAUACACUCUUUUUUGCCUUUUUUUUUUAUAUUCACUUUUUUCUAUUACUACUUAAAUCUUUUUAUUAUUACUAUUUUCUUGAUAUUCACCUUUGCUUAUUCUCGUUUUUUAUUUUAAUCAAUACGAUAAAUACAGAACUAAUUUGAUAAAUCAUAAAAUUAAUCUUUUAAAAAAAAAAUAUAUUUUUAAAAUAUAAAAAUAUGAUAAAACAAUUAAAAUUUAUAAAAUCAUAGAUAUUGUAAUAAUUUUAUGGUAAACUUUCUUUCUUUCUAUUAAUUAAGAAUCAUUGUAACUUAUUUGCUGGCCUCUGAUUAAGAAAAUCCUGAAUGUGUCAAAAAAAUAUUGAUAAAAUAGAUAAUGAAGUGAUUUUAACAGUAAUUAACUUUAAAUGAUAAUAAAUAUAUUUUUAUUUAUUAUUAUAAUAAGUUUUUCUUUGAUACUAGAAAAACUCAAACAGAAUAUUAAUAUGUAUUUAAAUUUACAACAUUAAAAGGUAAUAUUGUUGUAUAAUCAAUACAUUGGUAAGACUGCAAUAAGUUAUUAUUGUUUUGGAAGUUUUAGUGUAGUGAAUUUAAUUUGUAUCUUCCCAUUUCUGUUAUUUCCUUUAACAUAUCUUCAAAAUUGAUAUUAAUUUAUUUAUCAUACAUUUAUUGUUUUUCCAGUUAUAUAUACUUGUGAGUAUUACACUUUUGGAAACAAUAUUCAAUAAUUAAAUCACUUAAACACAUGAAUAUUACACCUCUUGAGAACAAUAUUCAAUAAUUAAAUCACUUAAACACAUGAAUAUUACACCUUUUGAGAGCAAUAUUCAAUAAUUAAAUCACUUAAAUUCGGCAUUAAAACAUAAGAUGGUCCAAAGUUAUAUGUAAGAAAUAUAUUGUAAAUUUAUAACUAUAUUAUAUGUAAACCCUAAAGAUAAAACUAAUAAAUAUAACAAAAUAUAAUAUAUCAUGAAUAACAUUAUUUUAUACUAAUUUUCAAUUAAAGAUGAAAACUAAAUAAUAAUAUUUAAUUUAAAUAUUAUAUGUAAUUUUAACAUAUUAGAGUUGUAAUUUUAAGAAUAUAAAAUAUUUUUUCUUUGUUCAUCUGUAUUGAACAAAAAUGGUUUUACAAUAGUUUAAAAGUCAAAUUUAAAUAUUAAUGUAUAAAAGAUAAAUUAUAAGUGUCAAAGUAAAUUAUAAUUAUUUUUAUUAAAAAUAAGUUGUUAAGAAAACUAAACCAUUGAAUAAAAAAUUAUUUAUAUAAUUAUUUUACUUAUAUUAAAUAAUAAAUAUAUUAUUUGACUAAGUUAUAUAACUAGAAAGUUUAAUUAUCUAAAUUUAAAAUAGUAUUUGUUCGAUAAAUCAUAAAAAUAAAUAAAAAUUUAACAUAAUAAUAUGAAAUAAAAAAAAUAUCAAAUUACAUAAUUGUGCAAAAAAAAUCCAAUAAAUUAACUAUAAACAAUUAUAAAAACUAUUCGAAAAUAUCAUAUAUUACGAUUAAUAAAUAAAUUUGUAAAAGAUAAAAGCAAAACAUAAUCAUAUUAUAUUUGUAGAAAUUUAAAGAUAUAUUUAAUUUUAUUCUUAUAUUAUUUCNNNNNNNNNNNNNNNNNNNNNNNNNNNNNNNNNNNNNNNNNNNNNNNNNNNNNNNNNNNNNNNNNNNNNNNNNNNNNNNNNNNNNNNNNNNNNNNNNNNNUGUGUCGUGUAUAUAUAUAUAUAUAUAUAUAUAUAUAUAUAUGCACAUAUUAAAUUUGCAUAUUCUUUUAUUUAUCAUGCAUUUAUGUACUGUUAUUCGUUACAUUUUAUUUUCAAACGUCGGUUUUUUAUAUUAAAUUUGUUAAAUAAUUUGAUAAUAUGUCUAUGAAUAGUCUUAAACAAUAAAAUUCUGUUUUAUAACUACAAAUAUAACACUCUAUCUUACUGAUUGUUUAUAUUACUUCUAACCAGAGAGUAAAACAUGUAAGUUUAUAUAAUAAGAUUAAAAAACAUAAAAUUUUAAAAAAUAACACUUCUAAUUCUCUCCAAGUAAAAGUAUUAAGUAGAACAAUGUAAGAUUUUUUAUUUCAUUUAUUACAUUUUUUUAAUCUUUUUUAACGUCAAAUAUUUCUGUAUAAUAUAAAUUAUUUAAAAAAUAACAUAUUGAAAUUAUAAGUCAUAUCAAAUAUAUGAAAUAUAAUGUUAAUUAUUUAAUAAUUUAUUUAUAAAACUUAUUAUCUUUAUAAAAAAAAAAAUUCUUUUUAUUCUCCAGACUUUUCAUAACAAAUUCUUAUAAUUUUUUCAAUUAGAUAGUGUUCAUUAUGUUUAAAUUGAAGUUUAAAAUUUGAUAAAAAAAUGGUUACAUUUAAAUAGUUUAAAUUAUCUACCGUGUUACUAAUUAUCGUUUAAUAGAUUUCAUCCAAAAAGCUAAAUAUCUGAUAUUAACAUAUUUGAUGUUUGCAGAUCUGUCUAGAAAAUAGUGUAAAUGUUAAAAAAAUUCAACAUUUUUCAUUUUAGUUAAAUAUUGAAAAUAACAAAAUAUAAAACUAAAUAUUGGUAAAACACAAGCUUUGUCUAAAAUAAUAUAUCUUAAAAUAUGCAAGUACUUGUCUACAAGAUAAUAUAGUACUAUACAAUCUUGUUUUCACAUUCUCAAACAAUUCACACAAAAUUUUAAAUUAACAUCAUACCUCACGAAUAUUAUGAAUUAUGUUUAUUUUGUUACAUCAACGAUCUUUUGAAGUGCUAAAAUUGGUUUGCUUCACCAACUCCCUAGCGCUUGUUUUGUCAAUACUAAAAAUGAUUGUAUGUCAUUAUGAAUUUAUACUUUACAUAGUUUCAAAUUAAGAUUUUUUGGUCAAGACCUAAUAACCAACUAUUGGGACAUUGCUUGAAGAAUAUAAGUGCAUCUAAUGCAUGCAUUGAGCAUAACUAAUGCAUGCAUUGAACACAUCUAAUGCAUUUUUACGUCAUAUGCAAGGAAAAAAUUCAAGUAAGCCUAAAGCUUAUUUGACGUUCAUAAAAUAAUUUCCACCGACUAUUUUCUUUUGCACCUAUAUAAAGUCAUCUUUCAUGAAAAACAAGUAGAGUUUGAAUUGAAUAAGUGCCAAAUGGUUGUCAAAAUCUUUAUGAGUCCUAAAUAGUUUUAUAAGAACAUUGUUGUAUUCAUUUAACAACCUAGUAGAGAGUGCUUAAUCGUGUAAUCAUUGUGACCACACAGAACAAUUUUUUUAUUUUAUUUUGAGUGAAGAGUGACUUGUUGUUGAAAUAAUACUCAUAUCAGUCAUGAGUGGCUUGUUGUCAAACAAUACUCGUAUGGCUUAGAGGUAUUAUAAUCUGUAAGAAUACAUGCAGUAAUUGUCUGUUAGUUGAACUUAAACAAUUAUUUGAGAAUUGGAUGUAGUAUGGACUAUCAAACAAACAAUAUCUAACCAUAUUAAGUAAUUUAUUCAUUUCUAUCGUGGUAUAUUGUAUGUUAUAUCUAUUGUUUUUUUUUUAUCAGCAAUAAAAAAUCAAUAAAUGAGAACCACUUCAGGGGUGGUCCAACCCUUUUACAAACACACAUACAAUUUAACUCCUAACUCGACACCCAAAACCGCCGGUCAAAAGACCAACCAAACCAAGCGCUAACUAGCUUUACCGAAUCAGCCGUAUACAGGCCAAAGGAUCUAGAACCCAACAGGGAUAGGAAAAAUAAACUUCGCGGGACUUUGCAGCAAUCCAAGACCACACCUUUACUUGUGCUGAGGCAAAAACUUCUAACGCAUCUGCCACUCCUCCAUUAAAGACGACCGAGUUCCUAUGCUUCCAAAUUUCACUCACAAUUCCAACCCAAAUUGCCCCCCAAACAUCAUUAGACAGAUGCCUGACUCAACCUGAAUUGAAUAAAAUUUUGCAUUGGAUCCGAAUGGAUUACGAACGACACUCCAAGCCACUCAAAGCAAAGGCACCAUACCCUCCAAGCAAAGUCACAAACGGCGAACAAGUGACUCGACGACUCAUCGACCUUCCCACACAAGCAACAUACAGGAUUUUCAACCACCAUCCCGCGCCUUACCAAAUUAACCCUAGUUGCAAUCCUAUUUUCCAAAACUCUCCAGGCCAAGAAUACAGCAGAAGGCAAGGCUUUACACCUCCACAACCUACAGUAGGUCGGAGAGGACUCCCCAUCACUAACCCUCCUUACCUUGCUAUAAGCUGAGUUAACAGUAAAACUUUGAGACCCCUCAGCCUUCCAGAUCCAGCUAUCCACCCCUCCCACAUGUUAUAUCUAUUGUACCGACUAAAAGAAGGAAAAGUUUUUCAAACUCAGUUUAUGAAAAUCUUUGUUAGUUAGUAACAAAAUCUAUUGUUUGUUGGCACGGAUUUAAACAAUAUUAGCAAAAAAAAAGACAAAAGUUUUUAAAACACAAUUCAAUUCUCAUUUCUUUUAUUUUUGUGUUUUUCAAUAGUUAACAAAUAAGUAAAUAUAACAAAAAAGUUAUAAAAAUUUUACAUGUGAGAUUUACAUCACUUGAAAUCAUAAGAAUCUCUUCCUUAAGUGAGAAGUUGUUCUAUGUUGGUUAUAAUUGACUUUGAUAUCAUUGAUAGAUCUUACGAGUAAGGAUUUACUUUGCUGAUGAAAAAAAAAAAUGAGUAAGGAUUUACCAAAUAUACUCAAUAAUAUUGAGACUUGAGUCAAACUCACAAAGUGAUUAAAGAAAAUACGUUUUUAUCUUUUUUUUUUCCUUAUAUGUCACUCAAUUUUCUAAUUUCUACUCAAUGCGACACUUAAAUUUAUAACAAUUUCUUAGUAAGUGAAUUUAUAUACUGUGACAUAAUAACCCCAAAAAAAUUGACUAGAAUAAACUUUGAUAGUGAGUUAAUGUCUAACUCAAUGCUACAAAAUCAAUUUAUAAGGCAAUAAUUACACCCUUCAACAUGAAAUUAUAUACUAUGAGUUUAGACUGGUUAGGAGUAAAAUCAGUCGAUUUUAUGGAUCCUGAGUCUCAUUUUGAACAUUUCAAGAUUUUGGAUGCACCCACUUCAGUUAAUUUUAUUAUGAGCAAUGUCUGGAUUGCGUUGGUUAGCGAGAUAUGGAGACACAUGAAUAACUGUUUAUUUAAAGGUGGAGGGGUUGAUCAUGCUGAAGUUUUCUCAUUGCGGCACAGAUUAAGAUUUGGUCCUGGAUCUCAUCAAAGAUACAGUGCUAAUUUCUCAUUCUCUGAUUGGUGUCUAGAACCCUUGGUAUGUAUGCAUUCAAUUUAGUAUUUGUAUAAGGGUUGAUCCUUAUUAUUCUUUUUUAUUAUUGGUAGAGAUGAGAUAAACAGUAGAAGGUCUUUUUUGUUGAUAUGUAGAUGGAAAUAUAUUAUUUGAACAUCAUUAUGUUGUACGAGGGUUGAAUCAUCUCUGAAGUGCACUCAUUUAAUUUUAUUGUUAUUUGCUAAAAAAAAAAAAAACUAUGAGUUUAUACAACAUUGAGGUAAUAAGUACAAAUAAUUUAUCUAUAACACUCCAAAUAACUUUGAUAACAAAUUAAAAACUACAAAACUAUUUUAUUAAUGAGUCACAAAAAUUGCAUUCUCAUUGUAUUUGUAACAACCAAAACCUUUAAAAAUAUAAAAAUAUGCUAAAAUAAAAAAAAAGAUAUUUUUUUGCUAAUUAUAAAAAAAAUAUUUAUAUGUUAAUUCCAACAAUUUGUUUAUCAAGUACCACCAAUAAAACAAAAUUGUUGAACUUGUGAAUUCUUAAAUUAAGAGAAGUUGGUAUAUAAAGAUUCAUACACCUUUAAAUAUCCUAUUUUAUUUUAUUAAUUCUUUACUAAUAAAAAAAAAUACCACACCAAAACUUUUUUCAUCCAGAAAAAAAAUGUUUACUUAAAUAACAUUAAACAUGAGCUUUGUAAAAGUGCAGUUCACCUCAACUUCUAAAUGCUGUAUAAGUCUUAUGACAUAUUAAAAGAAUAGAAGGAAACAAAUAAUCAUCGUUCUCUUACAACGUUGGAAACGAGUAUUAAAAGAAAGAUAAAUCCGGAAAGAAGCGAGUGGGGUUGGGACCCAUGGAUGAAGGGGGUUUGUCAGAAAACACGUUCCAGGGUUUAGCUACCGUGGUUGGCUUUAAACAAAAUAAUACAGCAUGUAUUGGUAUUGUUGGAGUGUAGAAGAUACACAGAAAAUAUUUGAAACAGAAAAAAUAAAAAGAAAGAUAGAGAGAGUGGUGAAGGCCUGCAAGAAAGAAUAAAGAAUUGGAAGAGAGGUUAGUUGAGAGGAAUAGAAUAAGAUGGUUGAAAGUGUGGCGGGAAGAGACGUGGUUCAGGCCAUCAACCCUAAAAAGGCGUGGGGCACACCACACCACACCACGCCACGCCACACACUGCGUUUGGUUUGUCAGCUUGUCUUUUUACACAAACCAAGGGACACUGUACGAGGAGAGAGAAGGAAUUUUGGUACUCACCACUUGUUACUUCGAUUUAGGGUUUUCAGAUUAACUGUUGCUUAACAGUUGAGACGAGAAUGAGGAGGCAGAGUGGGAGGCCUUUAAUCCAACGGCGCCGCAUGUCUUUCCGUGGGACACUCCACGCAUGUUUUGCUCCAACCUAAUGUUCUGUCUUGCUCCAACGUGCGUGAACAUGUUCCAAUCAAUAAUCACUUUUAUUGCUAACGUAGUUAGUUACCCUAACAUGUUCCAAUCAAUACAGUGUGUGUGUGAUACUCCACUCCGCAACUACUACGGUGCAAUUAUACGGACACCACUUAGUACCAUACAAUAAAUAACUACUUUUUCUGAAACUCUAGUUUAUUAUAUCCCCUCAGAAUCUCGCAUCCUUCUACACUUAAAACUAAGAUUAAUUUAACUUUUAAAGUUAUAUUUUACAAACAAAACUGUGUCAGAGAUCUUUAAAUUCAACGAAGGUGAUUCACAAAAUGUGAGACAAUCUUGUCUAUGUAAAUAAUGAUUAUUGUGAGGUUAUGGAUGAUCAUUAGUCUUAAUAUCCAUUUUUUAAAUUAAUAAAAAAAUUCCAAUUAUUUUUUUAAAAAAAAGGUGUUAAUUAGGAAGAGGAUGUUAAAUAUGAAGAUUGACUUUAUAUACAAGAUUGUAAUCAAUUUAAGAAUAUAACUCAAAAUAAGACAUAAAAGGAGAAGGGGAGUAGAACACUCCUAUAUAUGAAGAAAAAAUAUGACUUAACAAUACAACACUUUAAGAUUAAAAACUACUAUUUUUCACUUAAUUGUAAGUUCUAGUAAGGAAACACCCUUCUUAGCUAAAACACAAAAUAAAUAGAACUCUGAAAAAUUAUUAUUUUUUGGUUUUAGAGAGUGAAUUGCAGCUCGGUGAACUAGUCCACAAGCCAAAAUGUUUUUUUGGAAGAGUUACGAUAAUUCGAAAGUAUAUGAAAACAAAUAUCACAAAAACAAACUAAAAUGUUACAUCUUUUAGUUUUUUAAGUGACGACAAAAUGUUUAAAAGACUCGAUGUAUUUCAUUUCAAUCAAUAAAGAAUCCAUAUACAGUAAAAUACAUAUAUAGCAUUCAAAUAUCUCCAGCACAUCCAAUGUAUUUGAUUUUAUGAGUAAAUUUAGUGUUUAGCUUUCAAAUCACCGCUAAUUAAUUCGUCAUUAGGAUAACUUUUGUGUGUUUUAACAGUUAAAUUUAAAUAUAUGAAAUUAGUAUUUUUAUUAAUUUUUUAACUUUUGUAAAUUCAAUUUUUUCAACGAGACACAACUUUUCUUUGAAAAUUUUUAAUUAAACAACUUAUUUUUUGAAGAGUGCUUUAAUAUGUAAAAGAAUGUUGAUAAAGAAAAUCUGUAAAAGAAUGAGAUUCGAUAAACAAUUUGUGCUUUUAUUUUGAAACUCUUAUUUUUAGCUUUAAUAUAAAAAGGUAGCUUUCAAGUAAAAGAUAAAGCUGGCCCAAAGACACCUGAAGUGGAUAAACAUGCAUUUAAAUAGGUUAAGUAUGAUUAAAUUUGAAUUUGCAGAAAUAUGAGGUUAAAGAAGUGAAGCAUAAGUGAAAGGGCAUAUAUUGAAGUGUGUAAUUGGGUUUUGAAUGGUGACAAGAAGUAUAUAGAAUAAUAAGAAGUGUUGAAUGAGAUAAGGGACCAUACACCAUGCAAUAGAGAAUGGAACAAACCAUAUAACUACAACAGUGGGGACGUUUAUUGAAGCAGCCAGGAAGGUGGCAAUGGCAAGAAGAGAGUACCAAAAAGCAAAUAAAGAUAAAAUACGAAGCCACACAGCACCACAUUGCUGUUAUUUAGUGUGUAACCAUCCUUCAAUUUUUAUUCUUUGUAGGAAAAUCCAUUUCUAUAUAUUACUAAAAAAUUUACGUUAAUUUAAAAUAAGUUCAAUUAUAUAUAUAUAGAGAGAGAGAGAAUAUUCACAUAGGUAAUUUUAUCAUAAUGUAUUAAAUAUAAACUUACUUUCUAGUAUAUCAAAGUCUUUUUUAACUGUUUGUUGUAAUUAUUAUGAUUUUUGUAUCCGAGUUUCUAUUAAAAUAUAAUUACGUUUAUCUUUUUAGAAAUGUAUGUUAUUGUACAACCUCGGUUACUUUUAAGAAAAAUAAAGAUUUUACAAAAUAAAAUAGUGCUUCAAUGUAUAAAUUAUUCAUUUUAAUAAUUUUUUAUAAACAUGUAAGUGAGUUACAAUCGAAUAUGAUUUAAAACUUUCUAUAAACUUGGUUAGUUUGACUUCUUAUAUAUUUCUUUUAUGGGUAAAUUACUUAUAUUAUGAUUUUUCUUAAAUUUUAUAUUAUUUUACGCGGUUAUUCUAUAAGCAUUGUUUGUUAGAUUUCUUCUUGUAUAUUUUCGUUCGGGCUAAAUUUCAUAUAUUAUACUUUUUUUUUCUUAAAUUUUAUAUUUUUAUCUUUCUAUGUUUCCUCAUGUUAGUUAUUGUUCAAAGGCUUUUAUUGGGUUGUUAGUUAUUGUUCAAAGGCUUUUAUGGGUUCUAGAGUAAAUAAAGAGUUUGGUUUUUUCCUUGAACUAGUACAAAAUAAUUUUCGAUCCCUUUAGGACCAUAAAUUUAAGGAUUUGAGAGCGUUAUUAUUCGGUGAAUAUAAAGGAGGUAAGAUGAUUAAUUAUUUUAUAAAAAAUUAGUUGUGAAUCUUUUAUUAAAUUAAGGUUUGAAAGUGUUAUUAUUCCGUGAAUAUAUUGGAGAUAAAAUGAUUAAUUAUGUUAUAGAAAGUUAAUUGUAAAUCUUUUGAUAGAAUCAGAGUUUGAGAACAUUAUAAUUAUUAUGUGAAUAUAGUGAAUUAAUCUUUUAGGUACCUUCGAGAUUGUAGCAUUUUUUUCCGAUUGUCCUUAUCACAUGUUGUUACCCGUUCAUCUCAAGUUGAAUCCAGAUAUCAUUUUCCACAUAAAUUUAUUCCGUGCAUAUACAUAGUCAUAUCUUCUCCUAACUCUAAAUAGACCCGGAACAACACAAUUAUGAAGUGUAAUUUGUGCAAUUUCAAAAAAGAUCAUUCCAAAAUGUACUUUUUUACAUUAUAAAAAUAUUUUUUGAAAUAUAAUACGCAUUAUUUUGUUCAGAAUAAUCAUUUUAAAAUUGGAGCAUAUUAUUUAUAUUUCAAAAUAGUAAUUUUUAAAUAUUUUUAUAUAUUUUGAAAUUAUCCCUUCAAAAUAGUUAUUUUGAAAUAUACUAUUUAUAUUCUAGAAUAAUUAUUUUGAAAUUCCUAUUUUAAAUGUAUUUUGAUUUCUGUAAAUAUAACAGAAUUGAUAUUUUGGAAAAUGUAAAAUAUCGAGAAUAAAAGUUUAUAGGGGUGACAAAGUGGAACGGGCCGUACGGACCAGCCCGCUGGCCCGUUGAGGCUCGUCCCACAUAACCUACAGCUUGCACAGGCCAAGUGCGGGAGGGUUAGCCGUAUAAUCUGCAUAACUUUAAAAUGUAGAAAUAUUUUUUUGCACAUCCAUAUUCUAUUCAUGUAGCCUCAUAUUUCAAAGUUUACCUAAUGCAUCUAAAUAAUAAAAAUUCAAAAUUUUUAUUUAUUUAUUUAAUUUUUAAAAAAUAUUUUUUAUUUUUUAUGCGAGCUAACCCGCAGACCCGUGGGUCAACCCUUAUGCGGGACGGGCUACACAAAUCAACUCACAAAUUCUAUGAGGAACGGGCCAUCCCAACCCGCUUUUUGUGGACCAGGUGCGGGACGGGUCGCCGCAUUUCCAAGUUUAGGUAAUAUAAGAAGUACAUUAUAAGAUGAGGGCUUCUUCUUCCUGCACCCCCACGUUUUUCUUCAUGCACCUCACAAUUUUAAAUAUUCCAAAAUUAACCUUGACUUAUAAUUUGAAAAGGGCACCGUGUUGGACUUUCAUUGUCACAGUUCAUCUUCAUCAUUGAACAUCAACUAUUGUGGAGGGUCUUUGUAAUUGUUUGGAACAAGGUGGAGAAGUACGCAACGUUGCUGAAGUGUUGUUUGGGUUGUAGAGGUAAAAAUUAAUUUUUUUUAAGAGCAUGGUGGUUAUGGAUAUUUCGGGGUUACUAGAUAUCGGGAUCCGAUAAUGUAUUUCAGAUUCAUGAAUCCGAAAUUGAUUAAAUUGUGUUUUCCGAAUGAGGGGGUGUUUCAGAAGUUAAAAUAUAAAAAAUUGUUGUUUUUUGGAUUGCUGAAUCCAGAAGCCUAAAUUGUAUUACGGAUUGGUGGAUCCAGAAGCCUAAAUUGCAUUAUGGAUUUUUGAAUCCAGAAUUGUUUUUUUGUGUUAUGGAUUUCUGAAUCUGGAAUUGUCUUUUUUAAUUAUGGAUUGUUGGAUCCGGAAUUUUACCGGAAGCAUAAAUCCGAGAUUUUACCGUAUUCUGUGAUGCUAAAUUCUACCAGAUUCUAUAAUCUGGAAUGUGAAAAAGCACUUACGAAAACAAAAAUCUAUACAAAAAAUGGAUGUCUAGAUUCGAAAACAAAUUUUUUUACUUACUUUUAUCAAGAGCACUCUAAAUCACCUAGAAGAAAUGUGUGAGAUUGAAAGGAGAAUAGUUUGGAGGUGCAAUGUGGAAGAUGAAUUAACACGCUAGUGGUAGGAAUUCACGUUGGGCAAGAACACCACUCACCGUCUUCUUUGAGUUUUUUUAGGUUAGGGAUAUUUUUGGAAUUUAAAAAACCAAUAAGGAUUAUUUAGUCUAUGCAGAAGAGUGUGGGGUGUAGGAAGAAAAACGUGCGGGUGCAGGAAGAAACUGCCAAGAUGAGAUGCAUGCAAAGAGUAAUUUUGGAUUUACAUUUUAAGACUCUUUCUUCCUGCACCUCCAUAUCUUCUUCUGGCACCUCCAUACACAACAUGAAAAUACAUUUUUAUCCUUCUUGUGCCACCCCCAUAGAAUAACUUUCGGAUUAUGUAAUCCGGAAAUGCAUUUGAAAAAAGACUUCCGGAUUACAUAAUCCGGAAGUUAAAAAAGACUUCCGGAUUAUGUAAUCCAGAAUAUUACAGAGGGGCAUUUUUGGAAAUAUGAAAAUCUAUGGAGGUGAGAGAAGAAGGUAUGGAGGUGCAGGAAGAAGCAGCCACAUUUUAAAAAUGUCCAGCCCAAGUAGAGUGUUUUAGAGGCCCUAAACCCAACUGUUACUUUUCAAGCGGCCCAGAAGAUAUCGUCGAGAAUACGACGGCGUAUGUUUCUCUGCUUAAAAUAGCUUUAUCCAGUCCCAAACUGUGGCAUUAAAAUUUGUUGUGAAAUGGCUUGUGCGCACUACCAUCUUUGCCCCGCGAGUUUGAUAUUCCGGUCCGACACUGGAGUUCGUCUGGGUCAGACUUUCACGCUAAAGAGUCCUCAACGUUUGUGGCUUGGAACUAAGCUUAGGGUUUCACCAUGCAGUCUCAAUCUCAGAAAUCACGUGUCUGUUUCCCGGCACCGGCCGCUCCCCGCCACCGUCUCCUUCAGCCUCCCCACCGCGUAAGUUCUUUUCCCAAUUCGGUAUUGAUUUGCCUUUCUUUGGGUUUUAAGUUUAAAUUGUGAUAUUCUGAAUGCAGAAAGGCAGAGCGUGCUUCUCCUGGCCAAGAAUUUCCUAAGUGAGUAGUUUCUCCCAAAUGUGUUUCACUCUACUUCAUUUCUCGUUCCAUUGUCCUUAUUUUCUUGGUAAUUUUCUUUGAUGAAAUCAAGAUGGUCUUCCAAGGCUAUAAAAUCGUUUGCAAUGUCUGAAUUGGAGGCGAGAAAACUUAAGUAUCCUACUACCGGCACUGAAGCCCUUCUCAUGGGGGUUCUCAUCGAGGGUAACUAACUCAUUUGCUGCAUUGCAAUUCUUGUAUAGCUUUUUGUGUUAGUUUUUCAUUUUUAGUGGAAUUGAUUUUAGAAGAAUUUAUUUUGGAAGAAUUAAGGUUAGGAAAAUUUGUUUGUGUUUUGGGAAGUGAUAUUUUAAAACUGAAUUGAGGAUAUCUUAUGGUAUAAUAUCAAUUAGUUUGUUUGUACAACAUAGAUAGAGGAGCACGGGAUCUUACUCACAACAAUGGGGAUUCGGGAUACUCCUUGAUGUAAUAGAAAUAUUGGUUUCCUGUUAAGUUUUUAUGCAAAAUACUAUGGUUCCAUGGGACAUCUGUUGUCUCUAAUAUCAGAUGCCCAAUUAGCAUCAUAGUAUGCAUGGUGGUGACUAUAAGGACAUCGAGUGCAAGUUGGUUGCAUCAAAAGUCCAUGAUGGAUAGUGCCUUUUGAGUACUGAAGAAUUUGUUUGAGUGCCUUCCAAUGCUCAGCCAAUGGUUGAGCCAUAGAUUAGCACUGCUUGUUGACACUAUAGCUUAGUUUAGGUUUGUUGGCGGUGAUGUGCUGUAGUGCACCUACAGUGGAACAAUAAAGGACUUGAUCUUCCCUAUAGUCAGCACUGUGUUUGGAUGGUUUGAUGCCUCCUAGUCUGUUGGAAUCUUACAUUUUUUCUUGUGCAGUAAGUCCCUAAUAUAGUUUCCCUGAGAAAGUGGAAGAGAGUCAUUGUUUAAGCGCUUGACCUCAAAACCAAGGAAAUGAUCCAAGUCACCCAAUUGGUUAGGGACAGAGGUGGAGUUAAGCCUGGUAGUCAUAGGCUGCUGUAGAAGUGUUAGAUGUCCUAGUUAUGAUAAGCUCUUUAUAGAUUAAAAUAUAAACCCUGCUGUUGUAGAUUUAAGUAUUGUAAGAGAAGGAUCACGCAUGCUAGAUACCUACAUACAUUGCAUGCAUGGAUAUGAUUAUGCUAUUGAGUACAUGUACAUGCAGUGUUUUAAAACUCAUUUGAUUCUCGUGUCCGACAGAUUCAAUAGGAAACUAAACUUUAAUCACUUUGGUCAUUUAAUUAAAUCUGAACGAAGUGCAUUUAAACUAGUUAAAACCGCAAAAGUCAGUUCUGAACUGAUCACAACUGUUUAACUCGAUCACCUAGUUUAUCUGAUUUCCAAGUAUGAUUACUUUCUGGUUAUGCCAUGACUCUACACCUACGACUGCCUCCUGCAUCACGUUCUGCAGCACACUGCAACACGUGGUGCAGUACAUGCCGCACUCACCAGCUUCACUUUUUGAGGCACAUUGUCUAACCUCAUACACUCACGAGCACAUGAAUUUCAAACAUGAAAAUUUUAAUUGUUCAAGUUGCCUAGCAUCACUCACUAUCACAUGCAUGGUAAUUGAAUCAAAUUGGAAAGUAACCGACCGAAAUUAGGAUUGGCCAAGGUGGGUAUGGAACCAAAGACAUGAAAAGGAUGUACAAAUUGCUUUAUCACUAAAUUAAUGUUAAUUGAUUUUCACUUGUAUGAUAAAUUAUAUAUACUAUCUAUAAUAAUAUAAGCAUUUAGAAAAUUAAUAGUUAUCAUGUAGUUUGUUUAAUUAGUGAUUCACUUGUUCCAUCACUGACCCACCAACUUUGUGCUAUGACUGAGACGUUUUAUAACAUUUGAUAUAAGUAUGGGUAUAGGGUACAAGAUGUUUCACUGAUAAAAAAUUAUAAAAAAUGUUAAUGUAUAAAAAUUACAAUUGUAUAUAAACUUGACUAAAUUGUUUGACUGAUAAAAACAACACAAAUAAGCAUAAAUUUUACCAUAAAAGGAGAUUAAAUUAUUUAAAAUGAUACAAAAAAUCGUAUUAAAAUCCUAGAGUUUUAAAAUGUUCAGCAAUCAAUUAUAACACAUUAGUAUGGUUGUGAUAUAAUGUUCUUGUCCAUAGAAAGUGAAAACCCUAUUUGGUUUUCAGAUUUACCAUUUCUUCAUGCAAUCACAACCCAAAUAUGACUUGGGUGCUGUUGUAUUUUUUUUUAAGAGAAAGGCCAACCAAGUUCUCUUACUGAUGCUGAACUCACGAGUUUAUUUGAGUUCAGGCGAAUUUACUCCUGAUCUGUAACUCAGUUUACUGGAAUAUGAGCUUGCUUGUGAAUCAACUAGGCACAUUGUUGUGGGAAUGUAAAUUCAUGCGAUCAGGAGUUUGAUAACCAUGGUGAAAAGAAUGACUUCUAAAUUUAGUUCAUCAAGAAGCCUUCAAGAAAUUCAGUCCUUUAACAUUAAAUUCAUCUUCAAAUAGUCUCAACGACUGAUUUGGAAUGAGUUAUACUCAGUACUCGGAUUGACUGAUCUGUAACUCAGUUAUUGCUUCCACCUCUUGAACCAACUUCUUUUUUUUCUACCACCACUAGUAGUGUUUGAAGACUUAUUUUGGACAGCAAUUUGAGAACAACAGAGAACCAUCCAAGCACCAGCAUGCAGAGAACAACCCUAGAACAUCCCCAACAAGCACCAACACCCAAGCACCCCUCAGCUAGACAAGAAUCCAACACACACCCAUGUAGCUCCCAGCCAAGCAAGAAACCAUCAACUAAGAACCCAACACGAAGGCCACUCAGCCACGUGAGAAAUGUCCUACAAAACAGAGUGUACAGUAAAACACAACACUGGUGAUGAUGAUGAUGAUGAUGAUUGGACUAAGAGGAUGCAUUUUAAAUUGCUUAUUCUCUCUUAAAGGGGAUUACUGAGUUUGGUUUUUGCAGAAGGGAAACCCCACACAGCUUGGGAUUUAGUGUUUCCAAAACUGAGUCAGUGAAAACUUGACUUGGAAAGGCCAAAAGGACUUUGUUUUGGCACUAUUAGAACUAGAUCAACAUAAAAAUAGCUGAAAAAAAAAUACGCAGGGCUCGUAAAGUAUUGGCAGUCCGUGCAGUUCAAGAGGAAAAUAGCAAUAUACACCCUUUGCGAUCCAGGGUCCAAGUUUGCUCAUUGACCUGUGUGAAAUCAAAGGAUCAUGAGUUUGCGAGGUUACAUGUGAUUUUUAGAACAUUAAUAUCAACUAUAGGACAAUUUUUUUUCUCAAGAACCCAUUUUGAUGAUGUGACAUGCGUAUAUGUUGUAUUCCAAGAUUAGUGAGAUAUUGUGUGAAGGGCCCAAACUCACCUCACAUUUAGUUUGAAGGGCUUUGAUUUUUGUAUUUAAAUAAAGUUUACUAGAGCCUUAAAUGUUUGAAGAUGAAUAAUGAUUCAGAUUAUUUUUGAUAAAAUAUGUUCAUGUAUAUUUGUUAUAUGCAUCUAGGAAAGAAUUUUUUUUUUUUUUUUUUUUUUUUGAUCAGCAGGAAAGAAAUGUAAUUAGAGUAUCCUAAAGAGCAGUUUAUUAGCACUCCUUAGACAACAACUACAACUCACUGGGUCCAUCAAACUUUCAACUCACUUUGGUAGUUUGACUAGAACUCGCAUAUGGAGAUGAUUACCUCUCCUUACAAACAAUUCAAGGCAAGAAAAGCUUCGUUAUUCCAUUGGGACAAAUGGAUAUUUUCACGCAACAUAACUUGUACAUUUUUUAGUUGUUUCAAUGUGAAGAUUGUUAAAUUUUCUACAUUUUAUUCAGAACGAUGCAGCCUUUUAAACAGGAAAAUUACAAACUUGAAAAACUCCUAAUAGAUAGGACCAAUAUCUCCAACACAUGAUAAUAACAGACCACUAAAUCUGUUGACUAAAACAGAAAAGUAAUAGAUAGCAACAGCAUAAACUGCAACCUGUAUUGCAUCAAACUACUAAACUCUAGGUCACUAACAACUGACUCAAUCUUUUGAAUUCAAAACUAGAUAUAUUUUGCAAACAAAAAUACGCGCCUUUUAUUAUGUUUGGGAUGCUUUUAAUUAAUUAUUUCAUUUGGUGUGUUCCGUGUGUUAGUGCAUUUCUUCAAAGAUAUGAAUAUACAGGUUUAAGCAUUAUUCCUAACCUAUCUUUGGGCUUUAGGUACUAAUUUAGCUGCCAAGUUUUUGCGAGCCAAUGGAAUUACACUUCUCAAGGUUCAAGAUGAAACAAUGAAGUUACUUGGAAAAGGUGAUUUGUUUUUCUUCAGCCCGGAGCAUCCUCCACUGACUGAUGAAGCUCAGAGAGCUCUUGAUUGGGCUGUUGAUCGAAAAACAAAAUCUGGUUGGUUAUUUUCAUUUUUCUCAUUUACUAUUGUUUAUCACCAAUUGCAGAGGAGAGUGGAGAACUGGUUUCAAUGCUUAUAGUACUUUGUGCAUUCAUGCUUUUGCUAGUGGUUUAAACUCUCCCUGAUUGUUUUUUUUUACUCUCUUCUCUCCCUCUAAACUAUUUUUAAAUAACAUGAAAACACAAAGUAUUACAGAAUUUUGUUGUAUAAUGAUGUGUCAUUGGGGUUCAUCUUCUACUAAGCAAUGGGCCACAUUUAGUUACUAUACAUGGAAUGAUGGAACACAGUUUGUACUUUGUGGGCACUAAAACACUAUAUUUGAGCUUAUGACAAAAAGACAUUAUUUUGUAAUGAAUUCUAAUGGAAAAUUUCUAAACAAAUAUAAUAAUAACAUGUAUGGAAUUUACAUAUUUAGCUGUAAUCCUGCCAAAUUAAAUAAAUAUGUUUGAAGUUGAGGAUGCCAGGUACUAUUUUGUCUAAAACCCUGGUUCUUAUUGCCUAUGGGUCUACUUAUUUCUUGUUGCUUAACAUUUGGUUUACAAGAUUUUGUGUUAUUUGGGUGUGCUAAUUACGUCUUGUUAUUUGGUCCUGAAGCUUUUCUUCCCGCAAAAAUAAUUGUUAAACCUACAUUCAGGUUUGAUGAUGAUUAGUUGUUGAUGACAUUCUUUCAUAUUUUAGCAAUAAAAAAAUACUCAAUUCUGCUUUAUGGUGAUGUACAAUAAAAAUUAAACUAGAAUUCCAAAAUAAAGAAGCUCUGAGGCAAUUAGGAAAUGCUAUUGUAAGUAUAGGGUUGUCUGAUAGAGUUUGAAGCAUUUUUGUUGAAGAGUUGAUGACAUGUUGGUUCUAUAGCCAAACAGAAGAGCCAUUGUCAUUUCCGAAGACAUUUCUUUGUCAUUAUAUUUCCUGCUACUGAAUAGAUAAUCUUUGAUUCUGAGAAUGUUUUUGUUAUGACCCUUUGUGAUUUCCCAUAUUUAAUUAUUAUUUGAUAAAGAUUUAUUGGUAGGAAUGUCGCAAUUGGUUUUGUUUCGUGGGACAAACUUGUUCUCAAUAUUUAGCCCCUUUUAAAUUAUACAUAAUCCCAUAAAUUCCUGGCGUUAUAUUUCAUUCAUUCACUUUGUGCAUCAUCAUUACUUUAUGUUUUUCAAAGGGUGAUUCCUAUCAAAUGUUCAACGCUCCAGGCAAAGAAAUUAAUCCUUUUACGUGACUUGCAGAUGAUGGCGGGGAAAUGACCACAGCGCACGUACUUCUUGGUAUCUGGUCCGAAGUGGAUUCUCCUGGAUACAAGAUUCUCUCCACCCUUGGCUUUAAUGAUGAAAAAGCUGAAGAGCUUGAGUCCUUAAUUUCUAACCCUGGAUGUACGGAUGAUUGAUGAAUGUGUACGGACUAGAGUUUUGCUUUAGUUUUAUACUGGUCAUUGAUGCCAUUAUUUGUACAAUCGAUAUAUGAACAGGUUGUUCGGUUGUGCCUACUGAUUUGGAAUGCAUAAAACUUACUAUUUUCAAAUGCCAAGUGUACUUCCUCUCUAAAGCAGAACAAAGAAAGAGAAAGAAAGAAAUAAACACGCAAGCAAAAGUAAAGCAGGAGAAAGGGACAUAAAAUGACGAUAAAUCAUACAGGUUGCUUAAAGUGAUUUUCACGAAAGUCCUUGAGCACUGAAUCACAAAGAAUGGGGAUGACACGAAAAGCAAUUGAGAUGUCUUUUUCGUUUUGGCCUGGUGUUUGGAGAUACGUAUGGACAUGGUUAGAUGAAGAUGAUAAUAAUUUCUAAUUACUUUUAUACACUUAUUCUUUUUCACGGACGUCUAUUUGUUUUUCUGCGUCAUAUUUGAGGAGUUCCUUAACCUGCUCUUUGCUUGAUAGUGUUUGUGCCUUGGCAGCUUCUUCCGCCCAGUUUAUCCGUGCAAUAAAUACCAAUAACAACGUCAAGCAGGUAACUAUACCAGUAAGAAGUCCAAUGAAGAGUCCAACUAGCCCAAGACGGAGUUUGAAGGCAAAAACAAUGGCAAGUGGAAGGGCCAGGAAAUAAAAUCCACCUAGAUUCGCAUAAGUGCCCAACCAAGGUCGUGCUGUUCCUCGAACUAUGCCUCCACAAACUGCCAACGGAAAAUUAAACACUUCCACCAGAGCCAUCAGCAGCAUUGUCUUUUUUACUCCCUUUAUAAUUCCCCUAUCAUGGCUAAACAGUGGCCCCCAAAUUCCCCUGGCACCCACCAUCACCAAACUGCCUAUGCAACCAGAGAUGAAGCCCAAUGCCAGAGACACAUACGCUGAUCGGUAAGCAAUUCCAGCUUGGUUAGCACCAAGCUCAUUUGAGACACGGGUGGAAACACAUGUGGCUAGUGACAGCAUCACUGAGAAAAGCAAAUAGUCGAAGUUUAGCACAAUGGCCAAAACUCCCACUUCUUGCUUAGCAUUUGUGAGGUGGCCAGUAAGCAAAACUAGGAUCUCAUAGCACCACCACUCAAGGCAUGUAUUGAGGCAGCAUGAUCCACAAAGCUUGACCAGCCUAAUCCAAUCCUCAAUGCUCUGAUCCCACCACCCUCCUUCCUUCCACAUGCUUCCCUUUUUGUUCUCAAUAAUUAAAACAUAAAUGGCUAGCAGAACCACAACAAUAAGGUCAGUAACCCAAACCGCCAUGGAGACUCCUCUGAGGCCCAUGGUCUUUGAAAGCACUAUGUUAACGGGUAUGUGGAAAGCUAGUGCCACAACCGAACUAAACAUGGUGGGAAGAGUUAUGCUCUGAGAGCUCAAGUAGGCUUUUAAGGGACAGAAGAGCGAGGCAACAAACAAGUCGGGUAUGAGAGAGGAAAGAUAGGUCCUGGCCACAAUGGAGAUGUCUUGCUGUUGCCCAAAACAAAUCAAAAUUUUGUCAACAUUAAGCCACAAGAAAGUGAUGGGAAGUGAUACCAACAACAGCAAUAAGAUUGUCAUGAAAAGGGUCUUGUGAAGGAGCCUGAAGUUUUUGGCACCAUGAGCCUGGCCACAUAUGGGUUCCAUGGCACCGCAUAGACCAUUGAGAAGAGAGAAUCCAGUCACAUUAGCAAAGGUGAAGCCGAGAGCUCCACCUGCCAAACUGAGCUCCCCGAGACGGCCUAAAAAAGCUGUUGUGAUGGCUGUCUUGGCAAACCAAGCCAAAUUCAUGGCCACCAUUGGGAGGGCUAUACCUCGUUGAACUCUUAGCUCUGAGAUCACCAUCUUCAAUGAAUUGGCUUCAUAUUUUUGGGCGUGUAGUGGAGGAGGAGGUGAGAAGGGUUGGUUGGUUUCAUCGUUUAAGCUUAGGUUGUCUCCUAGUUUGCAUGUUGCUGACAUUGUUGCUGUGCUCAGUUCUGUGUCUGGUUUGUUUCCCUCUGUACCUCGGGAUUCGUUGAAUGCAGGAGUUUGUUAUUAGUGACGGAGUUGUAGUUUUUUAAGGCGGAAUAGAGGGCUGGUAUUAGGCUUUUUCUCAAGUGCCAAUAAAGGAAGCGGUUGAUUAAACAUUUAUAGUGCGUGAUGAACCAUGAUUCCUAAGACCAUACAACGCACUUCAGUUACUACCUUUUCAUGCUCUUCUCCCCACUUUCCCUACUUUAAGUCAUUUCUAAUAUCUCUGGGCUCUGCUGUUUUUAUUUAUUUAUAUUAAAACACUACCAUAAAUGAUAAUAUUACUGUAAUCAUAUGAACUGUAACACAAACAAUAACUAAAUUUAUUUUAUUGCUAAAUUGUAUGAUAAAGUCUUUCAAAAAUGUAGAAUUUUUAAAACUGAAUUAGAAUUUAGAAGAGAUUUCUUUUUUACCCCAAUCCAAACGGAUAAAUUCUAAAGUGCAAAAAUAAAAAUCCUUUCACCGGCUUAUGCUUAUGCCACUGAUUUGCAGAUAACAGAACCUUCCCUAUAUACUGUCAACAACUGUUCUUUUCAACCAAAAAAGAAAAUAUAUUCUUUCUUUAAUAAAAUCUGUGGUAAUAUUCCUAGGUUCAUCUUCGCACACUCACAUUCAAAAUACUUAUAUUAUUUAUAUAAUAUAUUAUUAUCACAUUUUCUUAUAAUAUGUCUUUUUAAUUUCAAUUACAUCAAUUGUUUUUAUUUGAAAUAUGUUUGGUGAGUUUGUUUAAGUUUAAAAAUAAAAUGUUUCAAAAAAAUUAAUUUCAAACAAUCUGACUCGAUAUCUUUUCCGAUCUCUCCCCGUUAAUAAAAGCUUUUAUAAACAUAAUGUACAUAUUUCUCUUGAAAUAAUCCAUGAUUUAAUGUUAUUUAAAUUGAAAACACUUUAUUGUUAUUAGAAAAAGGUUAUAUCAAGAAUUGUUUUUUAUUUAUAAAAUUGUAAGAACUACUUACAUUGCAUUUAAAGAAAACGUGCAAAAAUUUAAAGCUAUAAAUUAACUAAUAAUGAAUGAACUUAAAUCAUUGAAGUUUGGGCAUGUUCUUUUCAUUCAUUUUUCUGGGUGUCAGAGUUAAUUUUUUACAAAUUUGUUAAUAAUUUUAAAAAUUAACUUAUCUAGAUAAAACAAAAUCUUAAGAAAUUACAAUAAGGGACAUUUUUAGAUGCAAUAAUAGAACUAAAUUUUUAAAAUAUAUUUUCAUAAAUUUCAAUUAUUAUCACACAUACACCGUUGAUAUACAAUUUUUUUUUAAAAGGCAGAAAUCUUAAAAUUUCCAGCUACACCAAAAACCAUAAACAAAACCUAACAACCUCUACCUGUCUCACAAACAUUGGGAGAAAUGUAUAGCACUACAAGAAAAUCAUGAAAUAAAAACCAAUUUUAGAGAUAAAAAAUAAUUAGUUGUUAUAGUAACUAAAUUAGAAACUAUUUUAGAGACUAAAAAAAAUUUUGGUUUCUAAAUUAGUUUCUAUUAUUGUUAAAUGGUUUCCAAAUUUAUAUCUAAUUAGCAAUCAAGGUUUUUGUUACCAAAUUUAGAAUCUAAAUAAUUGGUAGUUAAAACUUUGGUAACUAACUAGAUACUAAUUUAAAAACUAUUUAAUAAUAAAAACUAAUUUAGAAAUAAAUUUAUUUAGUUUUUAAAAUAAUCUCUAAUUUAGUCACUAUAACAACUAAUUAUUUUUUGUGUUUAAAAUUAGUUUUUAUUUCAUGAUUUUUUUUAAGUAUAGGUCAUUGAUUGAUAGAUAAAUUUAGAAAAACCUUGAAGAAUAAGGUCUCUUCAUUUAAAACAAAGUUCUAACCCUUUGAACUCCCGUUCUCUCUUGUCCUCAUUCUUUGACCCUUUUAAAUAUUCUCUUGUAUUCAUAGGACUCUCCCUCUUUGUUUUGUACAAUAAAAGAGAGAGGGACAGAGGGAUAAAGAUAAAGGAGCUGUUCGACGGUCAAAACUGCAAAAAAACAUAGACUUCAGCAAACUAACCGCAAGAUCUAAUAAUCUAACACUGGUGUAUGAUACAAGAAUAAAUUUAACAUCAAAUAAAGAGUUAAAAAUUCAAAAAGUGUCGUAAAAAUACAUUAGAGAACCAAACGAAAACUUAAAGGACUUAAAAAUGCUAGCUUUUAUGUUAAAGUAACUUGGUAAUAAUUUUAUUCUGAACAGAUACUUUGAUGUUAUUUAUAAUUAUUAAUAUUGAAUUAAAAUACGUGGGACUUUAAGUCCAUUCUAAAUGUCAGGAGGCAUCUAGAAUUUGGAAUGCAGGAAUGGAAAUUGGCUUCUCUUGAUUGGGAAGAGAGGAGAAUGUGUUGGAUAAAUUAAAGAGUUUGAAAAAAUAAUAAAAAUAGGAAGGAGAGUCAUAUUAAGGGAGGGUUAAGUGUUUUAGAUGAUUCUUAUUAGUAUAAAUAUUAGAGGAUUGAGAAGAAAGAUAAAAAAAAAAUAUUAGUGAUAUUAUUAAAAAGGAACAUAUUAAUUUUAUAUGCCUUCAAGAGACAAAAGGUGAACAAGUGAGCAAAGAGAGAUGUUAUCAAAUGUGGGAUCAAAUGAAAUUGAUUGGGUUGAGAAUAUGGUUGUUAAUAAUGGUGGAGGAUCAUCACAAUGUGCAAAAAAAAAACUAUUUUGAAAUGAAAAGAUAUAGGAAUGGGAGUAAUUUUUCAAUUAUAGAAGGUGUGUGGAAAUUAGGGACACCAUUGAAUUAACAGUGGUCAAUGUCUAUUGUCUAGGCUCUUUAAAGAAAAAGAGAGUUGUUUGGGAAGAGUCAGUUGAGACAAGAAGAAACCAUCCAAUAAAAAUGUGGUGUGUUGUUGAAGAUUUUAAUUAUAUCAGAUUGCUAGGGAGAGAAGAGGUCAAAGUCCUAAUGUUAAUUAUAGAAAUGAAAUACAUAGUUUUAAUAAUUUUAUUGAAAAACCAGUUUGGUUGAUGUUCCUCUAGUUGGUAGAAAGUUCACGUGGUAUAAACCUAACGGGACAGUUAAAGCAGAAUAAAUAGAAUUUUAGUCUCUUCUGAAUGGUUAGACAAGUGGUCGGGAUGUAAAUAAUACGUGGUAGGUAGAUCGGUAUCAAAUCAUUGUGCUUUAAUACUUAAAGAUAUAAAUAUCGAUUGGGGUCCAAAACCAUUUAAAUAUCUUGAUGUGGCAAAAGAAUUUAAGAUUUAGGGAUCUCAUACGGGCAAAGUGAUAAAGUUAUGACAUCAGAAAAAAUUGUUUGUACGCUAUGAAGGAGAAGCUGAAGAGGCUAAAAUUCAACGUAAGAUGUUGGAACAAAACAGUUUAUGGAGAUAUUAAUCGGCAAAUGAGGGGGUUCUAAGUGUGGAAGGUAGAGAAGAAAGAAAGCAGCUCCUAGUAGAAUUAAAAUACAUGGGACUUUAUAAAAGUCCUUUCCAAAUAUGCGUUUUAGGGUUAAAUACACCGUAUUUAGUAAAGAAAAAACAAAAUGUUGGAUUUCAUGUUGGACUAAAGAUAAUAAUAUUUCAUUGAUUUUAUAAAGUUUAGUUAAAUUUAAAGUUCACUUCUUAACAUGAUAUAAAAGUUUAUCAUAACAAAAAUUUGUUAGUCUUAUUAUUCUAUCUACAAUCAGACUGCUAUCAAAUUAUUCACAAAUAUAUAGUCUCAACUCUUAUCUUAUAAGUAAGAUAGAUUUAAAAUACACUUGUUAAUACCACUUAAAUGAGUUGACUUUAUAGUGCAUACGUGAGCAUUUAUGGAAUUUGUGAAGCUCCUGUAUGCAAGUAUGCGACAAGUGCAGUCUUAGGUUGAUCGAUCCCAUCCCAUGCGAGAGAGGUAUGUCGGCGAAUAUAAUCUUAGAAAGUUAAGGAAUUAAUGAAGAAUAAAAACCGGUUUCAAUCGAGAAUGCAUACAUUGAUUCGGGGUGAUAAAUUCCGUCGGUUGAUACCCAGUUAGGUUGAAAGUAAUAUUCAUACAUCUUUAGCCAUUUCAAUGCAUGCAUGAGCCCGAAUCAACGAAAUGCUGCAAGAUUCUAGCUUUUUCAAAUCAAUUUGGGUACCUGGAUAAUUUAACAUAGAAAAGUACUGUAGUAGGUACUAGGAGGAUAUAGUUGGCCAAGGAAUCUUGGGAAUUUUUAACCAUGAAGUGCUACUUUAACAGAUAAAUAUCAUGAAUAGAAUUUGUGAUAUACCCGCGAGCAUAGAGGAAAAGAGAACCGAAAGGUGGAAUCAGAUACUUGAGGGCUGAACCCUUUUUUUUUGUGUCAAAAAUCUUCUUCACGUAUGCUCCUUUCUCAUUCACGAUUCUGUAAAGUGGUUAGUGGGGUGAAGGGUUGGUCCAAACGCAGAACAAAAGCUUUCCAUUGCCACUAAUUAUUUUCGUUUUCAACCAUAAUUAUAAUUCACAACUUGAACCAUAUAUUUAUGUAAGUGUAUGCUGAGUAUCCUAAUCCCAAAAGCUAUAACAUUUGGACACAUUUCGCUAGCAACCUCCAAAAUAUUAAAGAUUCGAAUACUCCACAUAGCAAACACGUUCUACCGAAAUUAGAGGAGUUCAGGCAAAUCCAAAGAAAGAGUAGAAUUAAACAUGUUUUAUUGAUAUUGGUUCUAUAUAUAGUCUGAGUUGAAGAGAUAAUAUUUAAGAAAUCGGUCUUUUAUUACGAUUUUAUUGUUAAAAGAAGUUUCAAAGAAUUGAGAGAACAAGAAGUAGGAUUAUAAAUUCCUAAAUUAUGUGACUAUAUUUAAAUGUACUUAUAUUUAAAAACUAUUUUUAUUUUUAUUUUUGAUUCCCAAAUAUACGUUGAAUAAGUACCAAAAUGAAAGAAAAGGAGAAUACAUCUUAGAAAUUUAAAUGAAACUAAAAAUUUCGAAGGGUCAUUCAGAAGUUUCUAAAUUUUAAGGACAAAUAUGAGAAUGAUAACAAUAUGAACUUUGUUCAAUAUUGGUUGUCCCUUUUCAAAAUUUGUGCACGAGAGUUGAAAGGUGCAUAUAGGUGUAAAGAGUUUGCAAAUAAUUGUAUGCAAUAGAUUGUUAAAGAAAAGAAUAAAUAUGAACUGAAUUAGUUAGAAGAAGCCAAUCCGUGUUGAUAAUAUGUGAGAGAUGGUGAGAUAGUGAAGGAAGAAAAGAAGAAAUAAUUAUAAUGGUUAUGAUGAUAAGUGAGAUUGAGAAAAGGGAAAAAUAACAUGGGAAAUAUAAAACGCAUGUUUAGAAAGUUUAAAUUAUUGAUGGAAAAAGUUAUAAUCAGUUGUCUUGAAGUAGGUUUGAUUAAUAUAUAAAAUUGUUGGAGUGGAAAUUGAUGUGUACCUCUUUCCUUUGUCAUAAAGGAGAUAAGGGUAAUUUUGUGAGACAAUCCAUUAAUGGUGAUGGAGGAAGCUAAGAAGAAAAGAUGGGACAUGGCAUGCAAAGCAACUCGAUUCCCACUAUUAUUUUGUUUCAAUCAUUAAGAUAUUGCUACCAUUUUAUCAUAUCUUUCUUCUUAUAGGAUUCUUAAUUUGUUAAUCAUUGCACCAUGGACGUCUCUUUCCCCAAAACAUUUUUGGUUUCAUAACAUGGGGUCCUUCUAUACUCUCCUACUCCUACAUCUAACAUGAAACAAGUUUCAAUGGGCCAAGAAAUCUAGCUAUAGCCACCACUCAAAUUUCAAUACAAACACAUUUACUCCUACCAAGCCAAAACAAGCACAAUUCUAAAUAUCUACAUCAAAGUGUUAGAUCAUAAAGGCCAGAUUGUGUGGCCAAAAAUUAAUAAUAUUAGUAGUUACCAAAGUCAAUUGUGGGAUGAAGUUUAUCCAAAUUAAAUCCUUCAUUAUUCAACCUAUUUGAAAUGAUGAUCUAUAUAUUAGUUUUUUAAACUAAGUUGGAUAUGCUAUUUAAUAAUGAUAGGAAUCUAGACACUAGGGUGCAACCAUUUUUUUUUAAACAAUCAUAUAUGCUUAGAGAGUUAUCUUGGAUCUAUUCUUAUUAAAAAAUAAACUUAAAUCUAACUAGUUGAUAGGAGAUUUUCAACAUACAUAUCGAUAUUUGUUAAUCUGUGCGUAUGAAUAUAUAUCUAUAGAUGACAUAAUAAUAGUUCUAUAAGGAGUGAUCUGAAAAGUACAACUCAUUUGAAUAGGUUUUAAAUGACUCUAAUAAAAUAUUAGAAAAUUAACUUUAAGUUUAACUCAACUUUACAAAAUGAAUUCAUAAAAUAAGAUUUGGAGUUAAGAAUUGUUCCACUUAACUAGAAAUGAUUGAAUUUUCAUAUUACUAUUUUAAAUUAUAUACGUAGAGUAUUUUAGUUUUUGAAAAACUUGAAGAACCUGUGAGUAUUAUUUUACAAAAUAGUCUUUAUUUGAGUUCGUUUUAAACUAUUAAUAGGGAAAAAUUAAGUUAAUAAAUUACUAUAGUGAAUUACUUUUUCUGAAAUUAAAGUUAAUUGGGAAUUUCUAAAAUUUCAAAAUAUAAGACAUUUCACUAGUGAUAAAAUAAUUCAUUUAUCCAUUAUUUAUCAUGUCUGUCAAGAAAUAAAUUCAUCUAAGAAAAUAUAAAGAUUCAUCAAUUGUUUUUUAAAAUCCAAUAUUUCAUUUAAUAAAUAAAUAUAAAAAUAUCAGAAUCAGUCCAAUCAACCUUUUUCAGAAAUAAUUUUUUCUUAAAUGUCAUUUUCUAAGCUUUCAAAAAUAUAUUUUUACUUUGUUUUACAUAAUUUAUUUUAAAAAUAUUAAUUUAUUUUUAAAUAUUAUUUCUAUGAAUGAAUUAGACACCCCUCUAUGAACAAAAUAUUAUUAACAAAUAAAUUAGAUUGAACCUUUAGUAAAUGGAUCAGAUCUUUUAUUCAAUCUACAAUAAUUUCAAAAUAAAAUUUAUUCUAUGAAUUCCAUUUAUCAUCCAUAAAAAAAUCUUAAGGACUAAUUUUGGAGUUUAUAGUUUAUAAUGUAGAUAAUAUUUGUGAAGGUUUAGAAGAGAUAUUGUAAUGCCUGUUUUUAUAACCAUAUUCGUAAAAAUAAUAACCAUAUUUGUAGGAAGCAACAAUUUAAUAUGUAACCUCGUAUUAUUAAAGAAAAUCAUUAUUUUAUAUCUUAAUUUCAAAGAGGAAACUAUUCGAAGGUUGCUAACAUUUCUCCACUAACAAACUAAAGAAAAAAAAAACUUUGCAAUAUCGUUGCAUCAUUAAGAACUUAGGAUUUUCAACUUUAACAUAAAAAAGUAAAUCAUUUAAAUAAAAAUGUAAAUUAUAACUAUAAAAUUUAAGAGUGUAACAGUAAUAUUAAAUUAUAUUAAAUACAUGUAGUUAAUAAAAUACCCACAUUUUUUUAUGAAUAAAAGCCAAAGCUCAGACUAUAUGUCUAUUUUUAGAUAAACUAUUAAAAAAAUACCUAAAUUGUGUAAAAUUUGAUAUAGAUGAUUAUGGAGAAAUCGUCAAGUGAUUCAACUAAUGAAUUCGAUAGAAAAAGAUUGUUAACUGAUAUAAGUUUUAGAAAAAUAUUUAACAUUAUUUAUAUAAUUUUUUCUUUCUAAAUUAGUUAGUACUUGCAUAAUUAUUUUGAACAGUUAUGCGUUUUUAUUUUUUAAUUUUGACUGUGUUUUGUAUUUAGAGUUUUUAUUGGUCACAAUAAACAAAUUCUCAAUUACACACUAUUCAUAUGUUAUAAUUAUGAUGAUGUUACGAUAUUUAAAUAUUUAUAUAUGUAACUGAAUAAUAACAUCUUAUAAAUAUUUUAGGAAAGGCAUACAUUAAAGUAAGACAACGAAAUAUUAAUUCAAAUUUUAAUUUAAGAUUUAGUAACUUUAUAUAAUUUAUGAAAAUUAAGAUAUAACGGGCUGGGACAAUAACAUUAAGCUGAAUAAUUAUGGGCUGGAAAGUGGAAGCCUGCCUUAACAGUUCUAUACUGGCCCAUUAUAUUUUUAGCUUUUGGCAAUUAAAUUUAUUGUUCCCUAUUAGUGUUGAUGAAUUUUAAUGGCUAUUACUUUUCGGUAAAAUAUGUUCCUAAAUUUCUUGAACAAAAAUUAUUUACAAUGUUAUCCUCUUCCGAUCUUUUAUUUUAUUAGAUAAAAUGAAAAAAUGUUUUUUUUUAGUGAAUUAAAUGCUCUUACACAAAAAAAAUGCACUUAAAUAGCAGAGAUUAUUAAUUUAUCUAAAAUGAACAUUAGUACGUUUAUUAACAUAUACAAAAUAGAACUCAAUAUUUUUAAAAUCUGGACUGAAAUAAAUUGAAAUUACACAAAAUUGAUUUAUUAAUUCAACCAAAGCCGAUUAAUCUCAGAAAUGAAGUUAGUUUCCAUCAUCUAAAAGUUAGUUGCUUACCAAACAAAAAACAAUUAGAAUAAAAGAAGAGCUAAACAUAUACCUAAAGCCUUGAAGUGUUGAAGGUUGACUAAUUCAAAAGUCAAAAGUGAGAAUAAAUUAGUGGUUAGUUUGUUGUGGGUACCACUAUAAAUAGAGUUUGUGUGUAUACGUGCAAAUGUGUGCAUAUAACAGAAAGUGUAUUUUUUCUCCCAGUUUUGUAUUCUUCUGCUUCAGUUUGUUUAGCAUUCUUUUUCAUUUCUUUUCUCCAACAAACUGGUAUCAGAGCGUAGUUCAGAUUCAAGGGCGUUCUUGUGGGUUGAUCUACAAUGGGACACACCAGCGCAACCUUACAGUCGAACAUUCUUGUUCUUGAUGGCAAGAACUGGAAUCGAUGGAGUAUCCAGAUGAAAGCCAUUUUUGGCUUUCAAGAAAUCACGGAGAUUGUUGAAAAUGGCUACCCAGAACUUGCUACAGAUGCAACAGAAGCACAGAGGGUGGCACACAAGGAAAACAAAAAGAAAGACUGCAAAGCCAUGUGUCUUCUUCAUCAGAGUGUCGACGAUGCACACUUUGAGAAGAUUGCAGAAGCAAAGACGUCACAGAAGGCANNNNNNNNNNNNNNNNNNNNNNNNNNNNNNNNNNNNNNNNNNNNNNNNNNNNNNNNNNNNNNNNNNNNNNNNNNNNNNNNNNNNNNNNNNNNNNNNNNNNNNNNNNNNNNNNNNNNNNNNNNNNNNNNNNNNNNNNNNNNNNNNNNNNNNNNNNNNNNNNNNNNNNNNNNNNNNNNNNNNNNNNNNNNUGUUGAGAAGGUAUUACGGACCCUAACCCCUAACUUUGACCACAUUGUUGUGGCCAUUGAAGAAUCCAGGAAACUUGAAGAACUGAAGGUUGAAGAUCUUCAAGGUUCCCUCGAGGCACAUGAGUAGAGGCUCAUUGAAAGGUCCACUGAGAAACCUGUAGAACAGGUUCUGCAAGCCCAGACUUUGAGGAAAGGAGGCUACGAUGGCAGGGGUGGAUUUAGAAACCGAGGAAAGGGGAAAGAUUACAGAGGAAAGGGCAGAAGUUCUCAUCAAGAACAAGAGAAGUCUGAUCAAGAUCAAACAGAAACCUCCUCAAGGAGGGGAGGAUCCAAUUGGAAAGGAGGUAAGAAGAAAAUAGAUAGAAAGAGAAUCAAAUGUUUCAAUUGCAAUAAAAUUGGACAUUUUUCUUCUGAAUGUCAAGCUCCCCCAAGCCAGUUUGAUCAUCGCAGGAAACAGCAUGAUGAAGCUCAUAUGGCAAAAGAAGAUAUGAAAGAUAACAGGGAUGAAAGUCCUGUUCUGCUAAUGGCGACAACGGUGCAGGAAGAUUUGUGCUCGUUCGUUUCGGACCCGUCCGUUUUGUCUACGUCUGUAAUGUUGCAGACGACAAAUACUCAAGAAAUUUGCAGUGAGGAAGUUUGGUAUGCAGACUCUGGUUGUUCUAAUCACAUGACAGGCCAUAGAGAUUGGCUCAUAAACUUUGAUUCAAGUAAGAAAAGAAAAGUAAAGUUUGCUGAUGAUAGAAUGAUUCAAGCCGAAGGCAUUGGAGAUGUGAUAAUCAAGAGGAAGGAUGGUGGGAAUGCGUUGCUGUAUGAUGUGCUCUUUGUGCCUACCAUGAGUAGCAAUCUAAUCAGUUUGGGACAACUAUUGGAGAAAGGUUUCUCAAUAGCCAUGAAGCACGGAUUCUUGGAAGUCCUUGAUGCNNNNNNNNNNNNNNNNNNNNNNNNNNNNNNNNNNNNNNNNNNNNNNNNNNNNNNNNNNNNNNNNNNNNNNNNNNNNNNNNNNNNNNNNNNNNNNNNNNNNNNNNNNNNNNNNNNNNNNNNNNNNNNNNNNNNNNNNNNNNNNNNNNNNNNNNNNNNNNNNNNNNNNNNNNNNNNNNNNNNNNNNNNNNNNNNNNNNNNNNNNNNNNNNNNNNNNNNNNNNNNNNNNNNNNNNNNNNNNNNNNNNNNNNNNNNNNNNNNNNNNNNNNNNNNNNNNNNNNNNNNNNNNNNNNNNNNNNNNNNNNNNNNNNNNNNNNNNNNNNNNNNNNNNNNNNNNNNNNNNNNNNNNNNNNNNNNNNNNNNNNNNNNNNNNNNNNNNGAUGAUUUCAGCAAAAAAUUGUGGCUUUAUCUUAUUAAGGCUAAAAAUGAGGUGUUUCCCAUUUUCAAAUCCUUCAAGUGCUUAGUUGAGAAGCAGUCUGAAAAAUUCAUCAAAAUAUUGAGAACAGAUGGUGGUGGUGAAUUUACUUCCAGAGAAUUUGAUAGUUUUUGCAUGGAAAAUGGGAUUGUGCAUGAGAUAACAACACCUUAUACUCCUCAACAUAAUGGGGUGGCUGAGAGAAGAAACAGAAUCAUCCUAAACAUGGUUAGGAGUAUGCUGAAGAGUAAAAAUCUGUCACACGAAUUUUGGGGAGAAGCUGCAGCAACUGCAGUUUAUGUGUUGAAUCAUUGUCCUACAAAGAGGCUGGAAUUUAAGGUUCCAGAAGAGGUAUGGACAGGGAAGAAGCCUUCAAUCAGACACUUNNNNNNNNNNNNNNNNNNNNNNNNNNNNNNNNNNNNNNNNNNNNNNNNNNNNNNNNNNNNNNNNNNNNNNNNNNNNNNNNNNNNNNNNNNNNNNNNNNNNNNNNNNNNNNNNNNNNNNNNNNNNNNNNNNNNNNNNNNNNNNNNNNNNNNNNNNNNNNNNNNNNNNNNNNNNNNNNNNNNNNNNNNNNNNNNNNNNNNNNNNNNNNNNNNNNNNNNNNNNNNNNNNNNNNNNNNNNNNNNNNNNNNNNNNNNNNNNNNNNNNNNNNNNNNNNNNNNNNNNNNNNNNNNNNNNNNNNNNNNNNNNNNNNNAAGGAGUUUGUUACCGUCCAAUAGAGACGAACCCAGCACUGAGUCUCAAGGUGCAAAUUCACCUGAGAGAUGUAUUCAAACAAGACCCACCAGAUCCAGAACUCUACCAGCAAGACUCAGAGAUUGCGAAAUUACAUUCGAUGAUGCUGUCACUAACGAAGGAGAAUUACUCCAGCACAUUGCACUUCUUGCAAAUGUAGAACCUGUCAGUAUUGAUGAAGCUUUAAAAAGCAAAAUAUGGAAGGAGGCUAUGCAUGAAGAAUUGAAGUCGAUAAAGAAGAAUGAAACUUGGGAGUUGGUGAAACUUCCAGCUAAUAAGAUGCCUAUCGAUGUAAAAUGGGUAUUCAAAACUAAGUUGAAUCCAGAUGGAACUAUUGCCAAAUACAAGGCAAGACUAGUGGCAAGAGGAUUUAUGCAAACAGAAGGGAUUGAUUUCUCUUAAGUGUUUGCACCAGUCGCAAGAUUGGAAACUGUUAGACUGGUUGUUGCUAUUGCUACUUUGAAAAACUGAAAUAUGUGGCAGUUGGAUGUUAAAUCAGCAUUCCUAAAUGGACCUCUUGAAGAAGAAGNNNNNNNNNNNNNNNNNNNNNNNNNNNNNNNNNNNNNNNNNNNNNNNNNNNNNNNNNNNNNNNNNNNNNNNNNNNNNNNNNNNNNNNNNNNNNNNNNNNNNNNNNNNNNNNNNNNNNNNNNNNNNNNNNNNNNNNNNNNNNNNNNNNNNNNNNNNNNNNNNNNNNNNNNNNNNNNNNNNNNNNNNNNNNNNNNNNNNNNNNNNNNNNNNNNNNNNNNNNNNNNNNNNNNNNNNNNNNNNNNNNNNNNNNNNNNNNNNNNNNNNNNNNNNNNNNNNNNNNNNNNNNNNNNNNNNNNNNNNNNNNNNNNNNNNNNNNNNNNNNNNNNNNNNNNNNNNNNNNNNNNNNNNNNNNNNNNNNNNNNNNNNNNNNNNNNNNNNNNNNNNNNNNNNNNNNNNNNNNNNNNNNNNNNNNNNNNNNNNNNNNNNNNNNNNNNNNNNNNNNNNNNNNNNNNNNNNNNNNNNNNNNNNNNNNNNNNNNNNNNNNNNNNNNNNNNNNNNNNNNNNNNNNNNNNNNNNNNNNNNNNNNNNNNNNNNNNNNNNNNNNNNNNNNNNNNNNNNNNNNNNNNNNNNNNNNNNNNNNNNNNNNNNNNNNNNNNNNNNNNNNNNNNNNNNNNNNNNNNNNNNNNNNNNNNNNNNNNNNNNNNNNNNNNNNNNNNNNNNNNNNNNNNNNNNNNNNNNNNNNNNNNNNNNNNNNNNNNNNNNNNNNNNNNNNNNNNNNNNNNNNNNNNNNNNNNNNNNNNNNNNNNNNNNNNNNNNNNNNNNNNNNNNNNNNNNNNNNNNNNNNNNNNNNNNNNNNNNNNNNNNNNNNNNNNNNNNNNNNNNNNNNNNNNNNNNNNNNNNNNNNNNNNNNNNNNNNNNNNNNNNNNNNNNNNNNNNNNNNNNNNNNNNNNNNNNNNNNNNNNNNNNNNNNNNNAAGGUUGGCUUUAAUGGCUAUGUUGACUUGUUGAUAGAUAACAAAUCUGCUAUCAAUUUAGCUAAGAAUCCGGUUGCACAUGGAAGGAGCAAGCACAUAGAAACGAAGUAUCACUUUCUGAGAGAUCAAGUUGGAAAAGGGAAGAUCAGACUGAAGCAUUGCAAAACAGAUUUACAAAUUGCGGAUAUAAUGACUAAGUCAUUAAGAGCUGAUAGAUUCAGAGAACUUAGAAGACUACUGAAUGUUGUUUGUCUUUAAAUGUUUUUGUAGAUUUUGAAUUAGGGGAGAGUGUUGAAGGUUGACUAAUUCAAAAGUCAAAAGUGAGAAUAAAUUAGUGGUUAGUUUGUUGUGGGUACCACUAUAAAUAGAGUUUGUGUGUAUACGUGCAAAUGUGUGCAUAUAACAGAAAGUGUAUUUUUCUCCCAGUUUUGUAUUCUUCUGCUUCAGUUUGUUUAGCAUUCUUUUUCAUUUCUUUUCUCCAACAUGAAGAACAUAAAGAAACAUCACUCAAACAAUCAAAACACGAAUCAGUAGUUGAAUUAGUUGAGAUAAUACCUUUUUAAGCUUAUUAAACACGUGGGGUUGAUUUUAAUUCAAGUGAUGACUAAAACAGAUUCCAAUUAACAGCUGCCACUCACGUGCGUGCAUAAAUUUGUCGUUUCUGCUUAGAAUUGAUCGAGUAGCAUUCAAAUGUACCUAAUUAUUUUUUGCGUGCAUUAUCUUCUUUAUGUGUUAUGUGAUUUUGAUGCAAAAUAUUUUAAAAAUCAAUUGCACGUAAUUAAUGAUGGAACCAUAAACAUAAACAUAUUUAGAAAAAAAAAACUUCGAAAGUUGAUAAGAAGUCCAAAUUAGUUGUGGAAGAUGAACAUAAUAUUGUGAAAAAAUAAAGUAAGAUGAACCCUAAAAAUAGAGAACCAAAAAGAUUUAAAAAAAUAGAAGAAAGAAACUAUAAAAGAGAA
This 79566-nucleotide long non-coding RNA is filed under the name Phaseolus vulgaris (common bean). RNAcentral's name for it is "long non-coding RNA (PVUL_LNC004535)". The stretch from base 1 to 194 matches the Rfam family "U2 spliceosomal RNA". Lineage: Eukaryota; Viridiplantae; Streptophyta; Magnoliopsida; Fabales; Fabaceae. The record is from RNAcentral.